RNAcentral lists this long non-coding RNA (52066 nucleotides) under Triticum aestivum (bread wheat). Its description in RNAcentral is "long non-coding RNA (TAES_LNC004614)". The record is from RNAcentral. Lineage: Eukaryota; Viridiplantae; Streptophyta; Magnoliopsida; Poales; Poaceae.
AUUUUAGUCGUUGUUGAUUACGUUACUAGGUGGGUAGAAGCUAUUCCAACUAGUAGUGCUGAUCAUAAUACUUCUAUUAAGAUGCUUAAAGAAGUUAUUUUUCCGAGGUUUGGAGUCCCUAGAUAUUUAAUGAUUGAUGGUGAUUAACAUUUUAUUCAUGGUGCUUUCCGUAAAAUGCUUGCUAAGUAUGAUGUUAAUCAUAGAAUUGCAUCUCCUUAUCAUCCUCAGUCUAGUGGUCAAGUAGAAUUGAGCAAUUGAGAGAUUAAAUUAAUUUUUCAAAAGAUUGUUAAUAGAUCUAGAAAGAAUUGAUGUAAGAAACUUGAUGAUGCAUUAUGGGCCUAUAGAACUGCUUAUAAGAAUCCUAUGGGUAUGUCUCCAUAUAAAAUGGUUUAUGGAAAGGCAUGUCACUUACAUCUUGAGCUAGAACAUAAGGCAUAUUGGGCUAUUAAAGAGCUCAAUUAUGAUUUCAAACUUGCCGGUGAGAAGAGGUUAUUUGAUAUUAUCUCACUCGAUGAAUGGAGAACCCAAGCCUACGAGAAUGCCAAGUUGUUUAAAGAAAAAGUUAAAAGAUGGCAUGAUAAAAGGAUACAAAAGUGUGAGUUUAAUGUAGGUGAUCAUGUUUUGCUAUACAACUCUCGUUUAAGUUUUUUUUGCAAGAAAGCUUCUCUCCAAAUGGGAAGGUCCUUACAUCAUCGAGGAGAUCUAUCGUUCCGGUGCCAUAAAAAUCAACAAUGUUGAAGGUACAAAUCCGAAGGUGGUAAACGAUCAAAAAAUCAAACAUUACAUCUCAGGUACUCCCAUAAAUGUUGAGACCAAUAUAAUUGAUACCGUAGCCCCGGAGGAGUACAUAAGGGACACUUUCCAGAAUGUUUCAGACUCCAAAAAGGAAUAGGUAUGUGGUACGAUAAGUAAACCGACUCCAAAAUGUUUCCAAUGAUAAAUUUUCUUUGUUCUGGAAUAUUAAAAAAUUAGGAAAAUCAAAAGUAGUCCGAAAGAGACACGAGGCCACCACAAGGGUGGAGGGUGCGCCCUGCUCCUCUGGGCGCACCCCCCGUCCUUGUGGCCACCUCGUGUGCCCUCCGGACUCCGUUUUCUUGCACAAUACUUCUUUUGGUCGAAAAAAAAUUCAUUUUAUAAUCUCCCGAAGGUUUUGACCACCGUACCACGACAAAAUCCUCUGUUUUCAUUUUUGAAUUGGUUGGGGAGAGUCGGCUAUCUCACCCGACACUGGACCCAAGAGCAUACAACAAAGUUGACCACUUCGGGCAAUCAACGAGGAAGAGAUGGAGGCUGACUUAAAAAGGGUGGGUGCCAUGGAGGACGAUCAAGAAGUUACCUCUCGUCUUCAAACUAGAUUCAUGCUGGAGGAACUUCAGAGCUCAGCAAUACCAAAUUCGGUUAUUCCUCCCAAUGCUAGAUUUCUCUCUUAUGAAAAUAUGAAAAAGAGUGUUGCUUUUUCUCCCGCAGCGAGGAAACAUCCGUGGGUGGAUGGAUCUCUAGCCGUCACGGGUAAACUUCGCAAGGAAGUAAUGGAUCUUAAGCAGCAAAUUAAUAAGCUCGAGGAAGAGAAUCUUAUCCUAAGAGGCAUCACCACUAAUAAUAUUACAUCAUCACCUCCGAAGAAAGAGAUCUAAGUAUAUGGGUAUGGGCACUCCCCUUGGCAACUGCCAAGCUUGGGGGAGUGCCCCUGUAUCAUAUCACCUUCACGUCUUUAUCUUUAUUGUUUUACUUAGUUCGAUCCUUUUGGUCAUAUCUUGAUCUAGUAGAAUAAAGUUUUAGUAUGAUCUAGCUUUGAGUUUUGCUUCGAUCUCUAUCUAUGUAAUUGAGUCCGUGAGAUAUAUAUAAUAAAGAGUAAUUUUGAGUUGAGGGCUUUGUUUUCUUGCUAUGAUUUUGAGGGAAUUAAAUAAAGUAAAGAAUAAAAAUAAAUAAAAAGAUCAUAUAUUGGGAGAGUAAUGACUUCACAUAUAAGGAGUAUGUUGAAUAAAAGUUGUUGAGAGUUGACAAACAUAGUUUGGGUCAUUGUUGCAAUUAAUAAGAAGUAAUAAAGAAAGAGAUGUUUCACAUAUAAAUAUACUAUCUUGGAUAUCUUUUGUAAUUGUGAGCACUCAUUAAAAUAUGCCAUGCUAAAAGGUUGAUGUUGGACAAGGAAGACAACAUAAUAGGUUAUGUUUUCUUAUAUCCGAAUAGAAGUUAUAUUGUCAUGGAUCAUCCAACAUGUUGAGCUUAUUGCCUUUCCCCCUCAUGCUAGCCAAAUUCGUUGCACCAAGUAGAGAUACUACUUGUGCUUCCAAACAUCCCUAAACCCAGUUUUGCCAUGAGAGUCCACCAUACCUACCUAUGGAUUGAGUAAGAUCCUUCAAGUAAGUUGUCAUCGGUGCAAGCAAUAAAAAUGGCUCUCUAAAUAUGUAUGAUCUAUUAAUGUGAAGAAAAUAAGCUUUAUACGAACUUGUGAUAUGGAAGAAAUAAAAGCGAUGGACUGCAUAAUAAAGGUCUUUAUCACAAGCGGCAAUAUAAAGUGACGUUAUUUUGCACUAAGAUUUUGUACAUCCAACCAUAAAAGCGCAUGAAAACCUCUGCUUCCCUCAGCGAAGGGCCUAUCUUUUACUUUUAUCUUCUACCCUUAUACAAGAGUCAUGGUGAUCAUCACCUUUCCUUUUUACAGUUUUUCCUUUGGCAAGCACUAUGUGUUGGAGAGAUCCGGAUAUAUAUAUAUCCACUCGGAUGUAGGCUAUCAUAAAGUAUUAUGGUUAAUGUUACCCUUGAGGUAAAAGGUUGGGAGGCGAAACUAUAAGCCCCUAUCUUUCUCUAUGUCCGAUUGAAGCUUUGGACCCAUAAAUAUCACGUGAGUGUUAGCAAUUGUAAAAGACUAAAUGAUAGCUGAGUAUGUGGACUUGGUGAAAAGCUCUUUAAUUGACUCUUUCUGAUUUUACAAUAAAUAGCAAUUGCUUCAAUGACUGAGAUCAUAGUUUGUUAGUUUUUAAUGAAGUUUCUGAUUCAUACUUUACCUUGUGAAUGAAUUUUUACUUUAACAUAAGAAAUUAUAUGGCAUUAUAUGCUACUAUUCUAAAGAUAAUCAUGAUGCCCUCAUGUCUGUAUUUUAUUUUUAUCGACACCUCUAUCUCUAAACAUGUGGACAUAUUUUUCGAUAUCGGCUUUCGCUUGAGGACAAGCGAGGUCUAAGCUUGGGGGAGUUGAUAUGUCAAUUUUGCAUCAUGCUUUUAUAUUGAUAUUUAAUGCAUUAUGGGACGUUAUUACGCAUUGUGUCACAAUACUUAUGCCUAUUCUCUCUUAUUUUAUAAGGUUUACAUGAAGAGGGAGAAUGCCGGCAGCUGGAAUUUUGGACUAGAAAAGGAGCAAAUAUUAGAGACCUAUUCUACACAACUCCAAAAGUCCUGAAACUUCACGGAGCAUGUUUUUGGAAUAUAUAAAAAAUAUUGGGCGAAGAAAGUACCGGAGGGGGGCCAUCAUCCAGUCACAAGGGUGGAGGGCAUGCCCUACACCCUGGGCGUGCCCCCGACCUUGUGCGCCCCUGGCAGGCCUCCGGUGCCUAUCUUUGGCUAUAUGGUGUGUUUUGACCUGGAAAAAAUCAGAAGGAAGCUUUCGGGACGAAGCGCCGCCGUCUCGAGGCGGAACCUGGGCAGAACCAAUCUAGGGCUCCGGCGGAGCUGUUCGGCCGGGGAAACAUCCCUCCGGGAGGGGGAAAUCGAAGCCAUCGUCAUCACCAACGAUCCUCUCAUUGAGAGGGGGUCAAUCUACAUCAACAUCUUCACCAGCACCAUCUCCUCUCAAACCCUAGUUCAUCUCUUGUAUUCGAUCUUGGUCCCAAAACCUCAGAUUGGUAUCUGUGGGUUGCUAGUAGUGUUGAUUACUCCUUGUAGUUGAUGCUAGUUGGUUUAUCCGGUGGAAGAUUAUAUUUUCAGAUCCUUAAUGAUAAUUAAUACUCCUCUGAUCUUGGUCAUAAAUAUGUUUUCUGAGUAGUUAUGUCUAUUCCUGAGGACAUGGGAGAAGUCUUGCUAUAAGUAAUCAUGUGAAUUUAGUAUUCGUUCGAUAUUUUGAUGAGAUGUAUGUUGUCUCUCCUCUAGUGGUGUUAUGUGAACGUCGACUACAUGACACUUCACCAUUAUCUGGGCCUAGGGGAAGGCAUUGGGAAGUAAUAAAUAGAUGAUGGGUUGCUAGAGUGACAGAAGAUUAAACCCUAGUUUGUGCGUUGCUUCGUAAGGGGUUGAUUUGGAUCCAUAUGUUUCAUGCUAUGGUUAGGUUUACCUUAAUACUUCUUUUGUAGUUGCGGAUGCUUGCGAGAGGGGUUAAUGACAAGUGGGAGGCUUGUCCAAGGAAGGGCAGCUGUGACGCCCGGAUAAUUAGGCUACAGUAAUCCCACGCUAAUGAUGCCACGUCACCACGGUUACUGUUGUCGAUCUCGCGAUGGUUCAAAAUCGAUACAAAUUUAAAUUAAAAUAGAGGCAAACAAUAAAAGUUUUCAAUAAAGAAAACUAAAUUAAAACUGAAAACUAAAAUGUUCAAACUUUAGAAAAUAAAUCAUGGCUGAUUGUGGUGGAAAAACCACAUUUUGAUAAAAAAAAUUAGAUGCAAGAAAUUAAUUAAAACAGGGGCUAAACAAUUACUUAAAUGCUUUUAAAAAAGAAUAAACAAUUACAAACUCUUUUAUUUUGAAGAACUAAAUUAAUAGUGGCAAAGGCACAAUUUGUAACACUAAGUUAGGUGCCACUUUUGUAUUUUAUUAAAUCUAAAAUAAAUAGAAACUAUAAUAAAUCGAAAAGGAUAAAUAAAAAGAAAACAAAGAAGAAGGAAAAGGAUCCCCCUGGGCUCCGGCCCAGCAGGCCAUCAACCCCACUGCCCAGCUCCACCCUGGCCCAACCGGCCUCCCUUAUCCCCCACCCCAGGAAACCCUAACCCCCGAGUCACCCCACUCCCCCACACAAUCCCCUCCUCUGCCCCUCCCCCGAUCCAGAUCGGGGGGCAUCGACCCCUUCGCCGCCCGUAGUCCCUGUCGUCGCCGCCACCUCAUCGCCGCCAUGCCCUGGACCUCCGUUCGCCUCGCCUUCGACUCCCACGCCGCUGGAUCGGAGCCGGGGAGUACCUGCUUCGCCGCCCGCCGUCUCCGGCUCCGCCACGCCGUCGCCCGGCCUCGUCGAUGCCUCCCCGCCUCUCCCUCGCCGGCUCCAACAAGCCACGCCGCCCCUCUCUCGUCAACGCAUGUGAGCCCCCGUCGCUCCUUUCCCCGCUGCUGUCCGCACUCCUCGCGCUCACCGCACCCCCGCCUCGCGUUGUGGCCGCGCCGCCGCCGCAUCCAGUAACCGCCUGCGCACCCCAGCUCGUGCCCCGCUUCGCCCUUCACGCGCCAGCUCGUGCAAUUGCACGGCCGCCCGCGCGUGCGCUCGCUCUGCCUGCCCCCGCCGCUGCUGGUGCUGCCUGCUGCUGCUGCCACCACGCCUCGGCCGCACGUGCCCGUCGAGCCCAGUNNNNNNNNNNNNNNNNNNNNNNNNNNNNNNNNNNNNNNNNNNNNNNNNNNNNNNNNNNNNNNNNNNNNNNNNNNNNNNNNNNNNNNNNNNNNNNNNNNNNNNNNNNNNNNNNNNNNNNNNNNNNNNNNNNNNNNNNNNNNNNNNNNNNNNNNNNNNNNNNNNNNNNNNNNNNNNNNNNNNNNNNNNNNNNNNNNNNNNNNNNNNNNNNNNNNNNNNNNNNNNNNNNNNNNNNNNNNNNNNNNNNNNNNNNNNNNNNNNNNNNNNNNNNNNNNNNNNNNNNNNNNNNNNNNNNNNNNNNNNNNNNNNNNNNNNNNNNNNNNNNNNNNNNNNNNNNNNNNNNNNNNNNNNNNNNNNNNNNNNNNNNNNNNNNNNNNNNNNNNNNNNNNNNNNNNNNNNNNNNNNNNNNNNNNNNNNNNNNNNNNNNNNNNNNNNNNNNNNNNNNNNNNNNNNNNNNNNNNNNNNNNNNNNNNNNNNNNNNNNNNNNNNNNNNNNNNNNNNNNNNNNNNNNNNNNNNNNNNNNNNNNACCCGCUCCGGCCCCGUUCCGGCCUCGCCGUGCCCUGGCUUCGCCCAGUGGCCGCGUGCGCGCAGCACAGCCGUGGCUGGCCGGCCACAGCCGCCGCCCCACCCUGGGUCACUGACCACAGGGGCCCCCGCCCUGGCCAGAUAGGCCUAUGACAGUGGGGCCCGCCCACAGAACGUAUAUAAAAAAGGAUUUUUAAAAAAAAUAAUUAAUAAAAAUAAAUAUAUAUAUAAAUUAUAAAGAUAAUUAAUUAAGAUAAUUAAAUAACUUAAUUAAUCCUGUUAAUAAUAACUAAUUAAGAUUAAUUAACCUAAUAACUAAUUAACCUAAUUAACUACUGUUAAUUAGCUAACAGCCCCUGACAGGUGGGACCCACCUGUCAGGUUGACCAGGUCAACGGUCAACGUUGACUGCUGAAGUCAUGUUGACAUCAUGCUGAUGCCUUAAUUAAAUUUCGAAUUAAAUUAAUUUAUUAAAAUCUAAAAAAUGUUUAAAUCUUUAUAAAUUAAUAUAAAAUAAUCCGUAGCUCGGAUGAAAAUACUUUGUACAUGAAAGUUGCUCAGAACGACGAGACGAAUCCAGAUAUGCAGCCCGUUCACUCGCCAUGCAUCCCUAGCAUAGUGAACCUGUAACAUUUCACCUCUGGUUCAUCUGUCCGAAAACGCGAAACACCGGGAAUACCUUCCCGGAUGUUUCCCCCCUUCGUGGGUAUCACCUACUACCACGUUAGGGCACACCUAGCACCGCGUAUUGUCAUGUUACGCCUUGUGUUGCUUUGGUUGCUCUGUCAUUUAUUGUGUCCCCCUCCGGUACUUCUUUCCGGUAGACCCCGAGACUACCGGCGACCCCUAGUUCGACUACGGAGUUGACGACUCCUACUUGCCAGAGCAACCAGGCAAGCCCCCCCCUUGAUCACCAGAUAUCGCCUACUCUACUCUCUACUGCUUGCAUUAGAGUAGUGUAGCAUGUUACUGCUUUCGGUUAAUCCUAUUCUGAUGCAUAGCCUAUCACUGUUGCUACAGUUGUUACCCUUACCCGCUAUCCUACUGCUUAGUAUAGGAUGCUAGUGUUCCAUCAGUGGCCCUACACUCUUGUCCGUCUGCCAUGCUAUACUACUGGGUCGUGAUCACUUCGGGAGGUGAUCACGGGUAUAUACUAUAUACUUUAUAUACAUGACACAUGUGGUGACUGAAGUCGGGUCGGCUCGGUGAGUACCCGCAAGUGAUUCUGAUGAGGGGGCUGAAAGGACAGGUGGCUCCAUCCCGGUAGAGGUGGGCCUGGGUUCCUGACGUCCCCCGACUGUUACUUUAUGGCGGAGCGACAGGGCAGGUUGAGACCACCUAGGAGAGAGGUGGGCCUGGCCCUGGUCGGCGUUCGCGGAUACUUAACACGCUUAACGAGAUCUUGGUAUUUGAUCUGAGUCUGGCCAUUUGGUCUAUACGCACUAACCAACUACGCGGGAACAGUUAUGGGCACUCGACGUCGUGGUAUCAGCCGAAGCUCUUCUUGACGUCAGCGACGGAGCGGCGCGCGCCGGAUUGGACUGGAACGCCUGCUAGGCUAGGUCUGCUUCCGGUCGCGUACACAACAUGCAGGUGUGCAAUGGGUGAUGGGCCCAGACGCCUGCGCGCAUAGGAUUUAGACCGGCGUGUUGACCUCUCUCUUGAGCCUAGGUGUGGCUGCAACGUGUUGAUCUUCCACGGCCGGGCAUGACCCAGAAAAGUGUGUCCGGCCAAAUGGGAUCGAGCGUGUUGGGUUAUGUGGUGCACCCCUGCAGGGAAGUUUAUCUAUUCGAAUAGCCGUGUCCCUCGGUAAAAGGACGACCUGGAGUUGUACCUUGACCUUAUGACAACUAGAACCGGAUACUUAAUAAAACACACCCUUCCAAGUGCCAGAUACAACCCGGAGUUCGCUCUCUAACAGGGCGACGAGGAGGGGAUCACCGGGUAGGAUUAUGCUAUACGAUGCUACUUGGUGAACUUACCAUCUACUCUCUCUUACAUGUUGCAAGAUGGAGAUGGCCAGAAGCGUAGUCUUCGACAGGACUAGCUAUCCCCCUCUUAUUCUGGCAUUCUGCAGUUCAGUCCACUGAUAUGCCCCUUUACACAUAUACCCAUGCAUAUGUAGUGUAGCUCCUUGCUUGCGAGUACUUUGGAUGAGUACUCACGGUUGCUUUCCUUCCUCUUUUCCCCCAUUCCUUUCUAUCUGGUUGUCGCAACCAGAUGCUGGAGCCCAGGAGCCAGAUGCCACCAUCGACGACGACUCCUACUACACUGGAGGUGCCUGCUACUACGUGCAGCCCACUGGCGACGACCAGGAGUUAGUUAGGAGGAUCCCAGGCAGGAGGCCUAUGCCUCGUUCGAUCUGUAUCCCAGUUGUGCUAGCCUUCUUAAGGCAAUCUUGUUUAACUUAUGUCUGUACUCAGAUAUUGUUUCUUCCGCUGACUCGUCUAUGAUCGAGCAGUUGUAUUCGAGCCCUCGAGGCCCCUGGCUUGUAUUAUGAUGCUUGUAUGACUUAUUUAUGUUGUAGAGUUGUGUUGUGAUAUCUUCCCGUGAGUCCCUGAUCUUGAUCGUACACAUUUGCGUGCAUGAUUAGUGUACGGUCAAAUCGGGGGCGUCACAAGUUGGUAUCAGAGCCGACUGCCUGUAGGAAUCCCCCUUUCCAACUCCUUGGCCGAAGUCGAGUCUAGACAUUGCAAAAACUUUUACUAACAUGGCUGUGUGUCUUACGGGCCCACGUCGCCAUUGGGUGGUAUUAGGAUCUUUUACUCCUUGUCUAUACUCUGGGACUCUGAUCUCUCUUCUAUUCAGGUUAAGUGAAUUUUGCUAAAUCUAACAUUAGGAUCUCGUUAUCACUUUCACCCGGAGAGCCCCUUAUUACUGAUGAUCGUCUCCUGCACGUGAAGACCCUGAAGAUACUCUCCGCUGAUAACCCGAGAACUUGUGUUCAUCGCUUUUGCAAUUCCCUUUCAUCGAUAAACUCCUAUGGAUAACCGCGUACACUCGCCAUUCAUACAAUAUUUCCCAGUUGAUCUUGUUAUUACAAGAUACCCCGAAAUUAUCUUUGUUGUUCCGAGAAUUCUUGAGCUUACUGCCUUGUUGUUCUUUGUCACCUGAAUACCCCUACAGAUAAUUCUCGCACUUACCGAGUAUCCGCUCAUCCCCAGUUGAUUCAAGUAUUUCACAAAAGUGUUCAAAAUACCAUUCGAUCUUUCAAAAAUCCUCAGGAGCCUUUUUGCUCUUGAAAUUCUUGCUUACUUGCAUAAUGAUUAAUCCCAUAAGUCUCGAAAUCUUAUUGGCACCCUUUGUCAUUAUCUUUUUGAGUCCAUUGAUUCAAUAUGUUGCGAAUGCUCGCAAUCCUCAAUCAGAUCCUAGAAUUCAUCCUUCUGGCUCAGACAUCAUUUUUAACAUGAGCUGGAUCUCGACCAAUCAAAUCGUCGUCGUUUGUACCCCUAAGGCUAUUCAGCUUAUCCAUCCCUAAUCAGAGCAUUGCUUCUGAUCCCUUGUCUUGGAAUUCAUAAUUCUUUUGCAAAUGAGCUCUGAAGUAGUCAGUUGUUUCUAUCAUCUGAUCUCCUUACAUGCUUUUUCUUCUGGUUGAGUACCGAUGCUCACACCAGAUCCCUUAUGGACCAUCAGAACCUUGUUGGAUUUUAUCCGACGACGUCCUUCAUAUUCAAUAACUUUGUGAGUCUUUUCUCGGAUACAUAAUGCCUUUGGUAAAUUGUAUCCUAUGCUUUGUCAACAAUGCUCUCCUUUCGAGCUUGUGUUAUUUACUCCUAAAGUUUGCGGUAUAUGUUCCCAAGAUGCCCCUAUGGAUUGAAGCCUUCUCUAAUCCGUGUGAACCCGAAAGUUUUCACGAGUCAUACUCUUCUGGUGCUUCGCCAGAUAAAAUUUCAGCACUACAACUUCUUCGUAAACGAGAAGUGAAUGAAAGGUUAUGCAUUGCAGGAGUGGGAGUCGACCUUGAACAUUUGUGUUCAUGCCCACGGACACGAUGUGGAACUUAUCAUGAAAGCUUCUUGUAAGAAUAUUUAAACAUUCGAAUGAUUCUUCCGGUGCAGUAAAUUGGAUCCCUUGCAGUUAUGGUUUCAACCAUUCUAACCAUAUUCAAUACAUCUGGAAGGAAACCAUUCCAUUGCCUCAUCUAUCAUGACAAGAUUAAAAUAUCUGCUAUUGCAAGUCUGCACUCCAGUUCAGUUUCUAUGCUGAUCUUCCCUUGAGUAGUACCCUCAAGUAUCUCGAGAUUAUCACGGAACUGCAUAACUUCAUAUGAGUUCUCCAUCAAGUAUUACAUUCUCAUUGAUUCCAAUUUUUCACGGGCUCCGAGUUAUUAAACACUCAAGGACAUCGAUAACUGAAUCGAGUCCGCAUCGCGAUUGAGCAACUCUUGGUAACCUUCAUUACUUACGAGUUUAACCUCAAUCACGUCAUUCCUAGCCUGCUUGGCUAUAGCCUUGUCGUGCCAAUUUUAACUGUGCUACCGGGUCCUUCUUCCCGGAGCACAAAUUUCGACGGUGAGCUAAUCCUACAUCGUUCUUCCUCGUCAUAUCAUUGGUUCUUGAAUAGCAAGAUUAAUUUCGAGUUUGUGUCGUACCCUUGUUUCGAAUAACCUUUCGCUUCAUCAUUCCUUUAACUUGAUGUCAUCACCGAUCGAUUACAUCUUCAUGAAACCUCUCGACAAAUGUGUCGUGAUCAUCAUCAGCAUUGAGAGCUCUUCCAGGAUAUCAAUUGAAUUCAUGAUGAGAAAUACCAUCCUUGCCCUCGAUGAUUUGUGUUGUCAUCGACCACUUUAUUGCCUUCCCUCCAACACAAACUUGUUCGUGUUCUGUGUUAUACCUUGAGUUCCUUGCUAUCCAACAUUUGUUCUUCUUUACCUUAGAGUAUUACCAUCUUUUAUAUCAAGAAUGUCUUGAGAAUUUCACCACCCCUUAAGAAUUCUUGAUAUAGUAAUACAUCUUGCCGUCUACAUUCAGUUCUUGGUCCCCAUGUUGAUUUUAACCGAAGUACCCACAAAUGAACUGUGAUGUGUAAAAUUCAAAACUUCCAGCAACCCUAUUGCUUGUAAGUUAAUGAACGGUAGUUUCAUUCCUUGUGUAUUGGUUAUCGAAUCACCAUUCUAACAUUGAUCAUGCUACCUAAGCCCAUAUUCGGGUGCACCUUUCAACCAAUGUUUAAUUGUGUAUGUUUUCCUCGAGCAUACAUCAUUAAGUCAUUCGAUCUAGCUAAUGUUAUCUCCUUGUUCACAUAGUUGUGGAAAUCCAUCUUUUGGAAAUCUCAAUGGAUUGUCGCUGAGUCAAUCAGUCACCUCCUCACCUCUCCUUGACUUAACGAUGAACCCUUGUUCGGAACUCGCUUCCAUAGUUCAUCUCCCGAGAAUCUUCGAUGUCGUUUCGACAAUUUGUGUUGCACCUUUCUUCUCAGGCAUCCUGAAUCUGAGUUAUCCUAACACCGAUCAGAUCUGAAUCUCGGUCAGAUAUGAUGGUUGGAACAUAAUUCCAAGAGUUAUAAUGUUGGUCUUUAUACAACCCGGUAAGGUGGUGUCUUUGCUUAGCACCCCUAGCCAGAGGACCUUUUGUUAUAAUUUCCUUUUUAGCAAGGUUAACCAUUCUUCCAUGAGGAAAUUGAAAGACUUAUUCUAUAUGUUGUUCCUGAUGAAUCCUUUUUGUAUCCAAGUCCGACCUUUGCUUGAAGACCAUGUCAAUGCUAUCUCGAAGCAUGUCUGUGGUACUCCGAUUUUCAACAAGAACACUUAUCCCAAUGCUAAUUGUUUCUUGCUCAAUUAUCCAAACACCGUUGUAUGGGUAAUCUCAUGAAAUUUCUCUCCCCUUACCUAAAGGGUUUUCUACAUUAUAUCCUGCCACGAAUAUCAUGCUAUGUUUGUCCUUGGGAAGGAUAUACCCCUGAAUAAUGUGUUUAAACACAUUUUCCUUUCCAUUGUUCUAUUCAAUCUGAUGAUCACCUUUUCCUUUACAUUGUAUUGUUUAACCUUUCUGGUGAUCUGUAUGAUCUAAGCAGUAAUAUUCUUCUGCUUAUGUAAACACCUCGGUGUACAACUCUGUCAGUAAGACCCUGUUACUAUUGUUGGUGACAUUCUGGUAACCACCGAUGGACGAGAACCUUGCCUAUUGGUCCGCCUCGUUCAACGAGCAGGAAAAUGGUUCUCUUCGUCCCUCGCCCUUGGUACCGAUAUUGUCGCCAACAUAAUUGACGGGCUAUCCUCUGACAUGCCUUGCUUACAUGGUCAUGCAAGAUGUCAGCCCCCUUUCUACUUUAACCCACAUGGUGGGCCCAUAACCCACAGUUCCACAGGAUAGAAACCUGACUCUCCUGUACACCCCUAUUUUGAAAGUUGUCCCUUACGCUUGGCUUCGUAUGCAAUUCAUGAGCCACCUUCCUAGUGAUCUGUUCUGAUAACAGAUGCAAUACUUAAUCUCGAUGCUCUGAAACCCUUUCACACACUUUUUCGGACAUCGAACGAUUGCCUAUCCGCUUGAAACUUCUUAUUGCACAUUCUUACCUUGCUCUCGAUGACUUUCUUAAAUUUCAACUCGAGAGAUGCAUCUACGCCUCGUUCACUGAGAUAGCCCCCAGGUACCUAGCAUGUGUUGAGCUUCGUCCUUCCCGAGUCUUCCCCCUUAACCUUUUCCGUAAGUACGAUGGUGGUCCUGAAGAAAGGAUGCCGGCUUCAUCAUGAUGACUUCAAGCAGAGAAAUGAAGGCAUCAACUUAAUGGAUCGACCUCUUCGAGAAGAGUAACCAAGGCCAAGAAGAUCCGUUAGAAUUUCGUAACUAAACCUUCCCCCUUUCACUACCUCUUAAAUCUCGGGACGAGAUUUCUUGUAGUGGAGGAGAAUUGUGACGCCUGGAUAAUUAGGCUACAGUAAUCCCACGCUAAUGAUGCCACGUCACCACGGUUACUGUUGUCGAUCUCGCGAUGGUUCAAAAUCGAUACAAAUUUAAAUUAAAAUAGAGGCAAACAAUAAAAGUUUUCAAUAAAGAAAACUAAACUAAAACUAAAAACUAAAAGGUUCAAAAUUUAGAAAAUAAAUCAUGGCUGAUUGUGGUGGAAAAACCACAUUUUGAUAAAAUGUUUAGAUGCAAGAAAUUAAUUAAAACAGGGGCUAAACAAUUACUUAAAUUCUUUUAAAAAAGAAUAAACAAUUACAAACCCUUUUAUUUUGAAGAACUAAAUUAAUAGUGGCAAAGGCACAAUUUGUAACACUAAGUUAGGUGCCACUUUUGUAUUUUAUUAAAUCUAAAAUAAAUAGAAACUAUAAUAAAUCGAAAAGGAUAAAUAAAAAGAAAACAAAGAAGAAGGAAAAGGAUCCCCCUUGGCUCCGGCCCAGCAGGCCAUCAACCCCACUGGCCCAGCUCCACCCUGGCCCAACCGGCCUCCCUUAUCCCCCACCCCAGGAAACCCUAACCCCCGAGUCACCCCACUCCCCCCCACACAAUCCCCUCCUCUGCCCCUCCCCCGAUCCAGAUCGGGGGGCAUCGACCCCUUCGCCGCCCGUAGUCCCUGCCGUCGCCGCCGCCUCAUCGCCGCCAUGCCCUGGACCUCCGCUCGCCUCGCCUUCGACUCCCACACCGCUGGAUCGGAGCCGGGGAGUACCUGCUUCGCCNNNNNNNNNNNNNNNNNNNNNNNNNNNNNNNNNNNNNNNNNNNNNNNNNNNNNNNNNNNNNNNNNNNNNNNNNNNNNNNNNNNNNNNNNNNNNNNNNNNNNNNNNNNNNNNNNNNNNNNNNNNNNNNNNNNNNNNNNNNNNNNNNNNNNNNNNNNNNNNNNNNNNNNNNNNNNNNNNNNNNNNNNNNNNNNNNNNNNNNNNNNNNNNNNNNNNNNNNNNNNNNNNNNNNNNNNNNNNNNNNNNNNNNNNNNNNNNNNNNNNNNNNNNNNNNNNNNNNNNNNNNNNNNNNNNNNNNNNNNNNNNNNNNNNNNNNNNNNNNNNNNNNNNNNNNNNNNNNNNNNNNNNNNNNNNNNNNNNNNNNNNNNNNNNNNNNNNNNNNNNNNNNNNNNNNNNNNNNNNNNNNNNNNNNNNNNNNNNNNNNNNNNNNNNNNNNNNNNNNNNNNNNNNNNNNNNNNNNNNNNNNNNNNNNNNNNNNNNNNNNNNNNNNNNNNNNNNNNNNNNNNNNNNNNNNNNNNNNNNNNNNNNNNNNNNNNNNNNNNNNNNNNNNNNNNNNNNNNNNNNNNNNNNNNNNNNNNNNNNNNNNNNNNNNNNNNNNNNNNNNNNNNNNNNNNNNNNNNNNNNNNNNNNNNNNNNNNNNNNNNNNNNNNNNNNNNNNNNNNNNNNNNNNNNNNNNNNNNNNNNNNNNNNNNNNNNNNNNNNNNNNNNNNNNNNNNNNNNNNNNNNNNNNNNNNNNNNNNNNNNNNNNNNNNNNNNNNNNNNNNNNNNNNNNNNNNNNNNNNNNNNNNNNNNNNNNNNNNNNNNNNNNNNNNNNNNNNNNNNNNNNNNNNNNNNNNNNNNNNNNNCUUCCUCCCCCUCCCCUGUUGGCCGCGUCGGGCGUCGGCGCCCACGCGCCCGCUCCGGCCCCGUUCCGGCCUCGCCGUGCCCUGGCUUCGCCAAGUGGCCGCGUGCGCGCGGCACAGCCGUGGCUGGCCGGCCACAACCGCCGCCCCACCCUCUGUCACUGACCACAGGGGCCCCCGCCCUGGCCAGAUAGGCCUAAGACAGUGGGGCCCGCCCACAGAACAUAUAUAAAAAAGGAUUUUUUUAAAAAAUUAAUUAAUUAAAAUAAAUAAAUAAAUAAAUAAAUAAUAAAGAUAAUUAAAUAACUUAAUUAAUCCUGUUAAUAAUAACUAAUUAAGAUUAAUUAACCUAAUUAACUACUGUUAAUUAGCUAACAGCCCCUGAUAGGUGGGACCCACCUGUCAGGUUGACCAGGUCAACGGUCAAUGUUGACUGCUGACGUCAUGCUGAUGUCAUGCUGAUGCAUUAAUUAAAUUUCGAAUUAAAUUAAUUUAUUAAAAUCUAGAAAAUGUUUAAAUCUUUAUAAAUUAAUAUAAAAUAAUCCGUAGCUCGGAUGAAAAUACUUUGUACAUGAAAGUUGCUCAGAACGACGAGACGAAACCAGAUACGCAGCCCGUUCGUCCGCCACGCAUCCCUAGCAUAGUCAACCUGUAACAUUUCACCUCUGGUUCAUCUGUCCGAAAAUGCGAAACACCGGGAACACCUUCCCGGAUGUUUCCCCCCUUCGUCGGUAUCACCUACUACCGCGUUAGGGCAUACCUAGCACCGUGUAUUGUCAUGUUACGCUUUGUGUUGCUUUGAUUGCUUUGUUAUUUAUUGUGUUCCCCCUCCGUUACUUCUUUCCGGUAGACCCCGAGACUACCGGCGACCCCCAGUUCGACUACGGAGUUGACGACUCCUACUUGCCAGAGCAACCAGGCAAGCCCCCCCCCUUGAUCACCAGAUAUCGCCUACUCUACUCUCUACUGCUUGCAUUAGAGUAGUGUAGCAUGUUACUGCUUUCGGUUAAUCCUAUUCUGAUACAUAGCCUGUCACUGUUGCUACAGUUGUUACCCUUACCUGCUAUCCUACUGCUUAGUAUAGGAUGCUAGUGUUCCAUCAGUGGCCCUACACUCUUGUCCGUCUGCCAUGCUAUACUACUGGGCCGUGAUCACUUCGGGAGGUGAUCACGGGUAUAUACUAUAUACUUUAUAUACAUGACACAUGUGGUGACUGAAGUCGGGUCGGCUCGGUGAGUCCCGCAAGUGAUUCUGAUGAGGGGGCUGAAAGGACAGGUGGCUCCAUCCCGGUAGAGGUGGGCCUGGGUUCCUGACGGCCCCCGACUGUUACUUUAUGGCGGAGCGACAGGGCAGGUUGAGACCACCUAGGAGAGAGGUGGGCCUGGCCCUGGUCGGCGUUCGCGGAUACUUAACACGCUUAACGAGAUCUUGGUAUUUGAUCUGAGUCUGGCCAUUUGGUCUAUACGCACUAACCAACUACGCGGGAACAGUUAUGGGCACUCGACGUCGUGGUAUCAGCCGAAGCUCUUCUUGACGUCAGCGACGGAGCGGCGCGCGCCGGAUUGGACUGGAAUGCCUGCUAGGCUAGGUCUGCUUCCGGCCGCGUACGCAACGUGCAGGUGUGCAAUGGGCGAUGGGCCCAGACCCCUGCGCGCAUAGGAUUUAGACCGGCGUGUUGACCUCUCUGUUGAGCCUAGGUGGGGCUGCGACGUGUUGAUAUUCCGCGGCCGGGCAUGACCCAGAAAUGUGUGUCCGACCAAAUGGGAUCGAGCGUGUUGGGUUAUGUGGAGCACCCCUGUAGGGAAGUUUAUCUAUUCGAAUAACCGUGUCCCUCGGUAAAAGGACGACCCGGAGUUGUACCUUGACCUUAUGACAACUAGAACCGGAUACUUAAUAAAACACACCCUUCCAAGUGCCAGAUACAACCCGGUGUUCACUCUCUAACAGGGCGACGAGGAGGGGAUCACCGGGUAGCAUUAUGCUAUACGAUGCUACUUGGUGAACUUACCAUCUACUCCCUCCUACAUGCUGCAAGAUGGAGAUGGCCAGAAGCGUAGUCUUCGACAGGACUAGCUAUCCCCCUCUUAUUCUGGCAUUCUGCAGUUCAGUCCACUGAUAUGCCCCUUUACACAUAUACCCAUGCAUAUGUAGUGUAGCUCCUUGCUUGCGAGUACUUUGGAUGAGUACUCACGGUUGCUUUCCUUCCUCUUUUCCCCCUUUCCUUUCUAUCUGGUUGUCGCAACCAGAUGCUGGAGCCCAGGAGCCAGAUGCCACCAUCGACGACGACUCCUACUACACUGGAGGUGCCUGCUACUACGUGCAGCCCGCUGGCGACGACCAGGAGUUAGUUAGGAGGAUCCCAGGCAGGAGGCCUAUGCCUCGUUCGAUCUGUAUCCCAGUUUGUGCUAGCCUUCUUAAGGCAAUCUUGUUUAACUUAUGUCUGUACUCAGAUAUUGUUGCUUCCGCUGACUCGUCUAUGAUCGAGCACUUGUAUUCGAGCCCUCGAGGCCCCUGGCUUGUAUUAUGAUGCUUGUAUGACUUAUUUAUGUUGUAGAGUUGUGUUGUGAUAUCUUCCCGUGAGUCCCUUAUCUUGAUCGUACACAUUUGCGUGCAUGAUUAGUGUACGGUCAAAUCGGGGGCGUCACAGCAGCACCCAAGCACCGGUCCACCCACAUAUCAAAUUAUCAAAGUAACGAACGCUAAUCAUAUGAGCAUGAUGAAAACUAACUUGACAACAAUUCCCAUGUAUCCUGGGGGAAGGCUUGUCCAGGCUUGUCCUUUGCUACAAAAAGGAUUGGGCCAUCUAGCUGCACCUUAGUUAUUGUAUUUACUUGUUACUCGUUACGAAUUAUCUUAUCACAAAACUAUCUGUUACCGAUAAUUUCAGUGCUUGCAGAGAAUACCUUGCUGAAAACCACUUGUCAUUUCCUUCUGCUCUUUGUUGGGUUCGACACUCUUACUUAUCAAAAGGAAUACGAUAGAUCCCCUAUACUUGUGGGUCAGCACUAUGUACCCUCAUAGACCGUAAGCGGAAGCGUUUCACAACGCGGAUGACAUAGUCGAACUUCUUCGCGCUUCAACCGAUCAAGUUCCGAACGCACGGCACCUCCGCAUUCUGCACACGUUCAGCUUGGUGACGUCCUCACCUUCUUGAUCCAGCAAGACGUCGAGGUAGUAGAUGAGUUCCGUCAGCACAGCGGCGUGGUGAUGGUGAUGGUGAAGUGAUCCUCGCAAGGCUUCGUGUACGAUUGAAAGUAUGUCUAGAGGGGGGUGAUUAGACUACUUGACCAAAUAAAAAUCUUGCCUUUCCCCAAUUUUAUGUCUUGGCAGAUUUUAGCAACUUAGCACUAGUCAAGUAAACAAUCUACACAUGCAAGUCUAAGAGUAUAGCAGCAGAAUGUAAAACAUUGCACAUGAAGGUAAAGGGAUGAGUUUAGAGGGAGCAAACGCAAUGUAGACACGGAGAUUUUUGGCGUGGUUCCGAUAGGUGGUGCUAUCGUACAUCCACGUUGAUGGAGACUUCAACCCACGAAGGGUAAUGGUUGCGCGAGUCCAUGAAGGGUUCCACCCACGAAGGGUCCAUGAAGAAGCAACCUUGUCUAUCCCACCAUGGCCAUCGCCCACGAAGGACUUGCCUCACUAGGGUAGAUCUUCACGAAGUAGGCGAUCUCCUUGCCCGUACAAACUCCUUGGUUCAACUCCACAAUCUUGACGGAGGCUCCCAAGUGACACCUAACCAAUCUAGGAGACACCAGUCUCCAAAAGGUAAUAGAUGGUGUGUUGAUGAUGAACUCCUAGCUCUUGUGCUUCAAAUGACAGUCUCCCAACACUCAACUCUCUCUCACAGAUUUGGAUUUGGUGGAAAGAUGAUUUGAGUGGAAAGCAACUUGGAGAAGGCUAGAGAUCAAGAUUCAUAUGGUUGGUGUGGGAUAUCUUGACCUCAACACAUGAGUAGGUGGUUCUCUCUUAGAAAAUGUAUGUUGGAAGUGUAGGCAUGUUCUGAUGGCUCUCUCCACGAAUGAAGAGUGGGUGGAGGGGUAUUUAUAGCCUCCACACAAAAUCUAACCGUUACACACAAAUCACCAAACUCGGUGGGACCGAAUAAUGAAACUCGGUCAGACCUAUUUAGUUCAAAAUGUGAACGUUAGGAUUUUCGGUGGGACCGACAUGUCAACUCGAUGAGACCGAUUUCAUUAGGGUUAGGGCAUAACGUAAUCUCGGUGGGACCGAUUAUACAAACUCGGUGAGACCGACUUGGUAAUAAGCUAACCAGAGAGUUGGUCAGGCAAACUCGAUGGGACCGAUUCGCUCAUCUUGGUGAGACCGAAACGUUAUGAAGGGGAAACAGAGAGUUUGCAAUGCGAACUCAGUGGGACCGAUCGCUCAUUUCGGUUGGACCGAAAUGUUACAAAGGGAAACAGAGAGUUUGCACACCCAUCUCGAUGAGACCGAGAUCCCUAUCGGUGAGGAAAUGACUAGGGUUUUGUGGCAGUGGCUAUGUCAACUGAACUCGGUGGCGCCGGAUAGAAAGUUUCGGUGGGGCCGAGUUUGACUUUUGGUUUGGGACAAAUGUGAAUAUGAGAAAGUGGUUGAGGGUUUUUGGAGCAUAUCACUAAGCAUUUCGAGCAAGUAACCCAUUAAGCAACACCUCAUCCCCUUUUAAUAGUAUUGGCUUUUCCUAUGGACUCAAUGUGAUCUUGGAUCACUAAAAGUAAAAUGUAGAGUCUUGAGCUUUAGAGCUUGAGCCAAUCUUUUGUCCUUAGCAUUUUGAGGGGUCCACAUUUCUAAUCCAUGCCAUGCCAAUCAUUGAGCUUUCCUGAAAUAUUUAUCUUGAAAUAGUAUUAGCUCAAUGAGCUAUAUGUUGUUAGGAAUUACCAAAACCACCCAGGGAUAGUUGAACUUUCAAUCUCCCCCUUUUUGGUAAUUGACGACAACAUAUAGAUCAAAGCUUCGACAAAUGAUCAUAAGAUUGAAAAACAUCGUCACUUUGAGAAGUAUGUGAUAAGCAAGAGCUCCCCCUAAAUUUGUGCAUUAUUUAAAAUUUGCUUCUGAAUGCAAAUGCACAAUCGAUUUGGAUCAUGGGUCACUCUUCCAUGUCACAUACAUCUUGGUGGAGCGCUCAAAAUGAUAAAAAAUAAAAAAACAUGCACUCAUCACCAAUCAAAGUGAGUGAUCAUAAAUGGAAUAUAAGAGAUAACAUCAUCGAAGCAAGCAUUAAGGUAGCAUAUGAUCAAUCACAUGAUCAAACAAGUAUCUCACACAGACAAAGACAUAGAGUAUCAACCAAGCGCAUAAAAAGGUUCAACCAAAAGCAAGAGAGAUAAAAGGCAAAACACUCUCUCUCUCUCUCUCGAAGCCUAUGAUCUAUACAUAUUUCUCCCCCUCUGGCAACAAGUUACCAAAAAGUUUGAAAAUGCAUAGUGCUAUGCGUCUCUCAGGCUUGGUCUUCGGGAGGUGGUGUAGAGAGAACUCCAAGGACGAAGGCAUCUAUUGAUGUAGUUGGAGCUGGUGGAGUGGCUGCUGGAGGUGGCACUAAAGCUGUAGCUGCUGGUGCAGAUGAUGUAGCUCUAGAAUCAGGUACAGGCACUGCAGCAGACCUCUGACUCCUUGGCACUCGCUGAAAAGCAUCAGUAGUUGCCUUCCCUCUCCUCUCUUCUGCUUCCUCCUGGAGCUGCUCAACUGCUGUUUGUAUCUCAGUAACCUUCAGAUCAAGAUCAUAAAAUUUUGUCUCUAUGAUCCUCUCCAGACUCUCCUGGUUUUGAGUCAGGGUGGCCAAGCCCUUCUCAAUCCUUAGUGUAGAUUGGAUCAGAUAUGCAAGCUGAUCUUGCUUGCUCUUCAGGAAAACUUGAGAUGCUUCCUCAACACUUGGCAUCUUGGCAGCUUUCUCUACCUUAGCUUUAGCUCUCUUCUCUUGUACUUGAGCUGAUGAUGGUUCCUCCUCAUUCAUUACGACCUUGUUGUCUUCAAAUUCAGGAUAGAGAGGUAGAUGCUCCUUGUCCAACAAGUAUGUUCCUGUGCCCAUCUUAGCAUUGAUGAGCUCCUGAAUAUGUGGAGCAUACCAACAACUUCUCUUUUGGUCAGCAUCUGUCCUCUUGAUUGUCUCUACAAUCAGGCUCAUGACUUUGAACUUUUGAGGGACAUCAAACAGUUGUAGCAGGUUGAUGGAAUGUCCUCUGAUCAUCUUGUGAUCUCCUGACUUGGGUAGCAGUGUGUGUCUUAGGAUUUGUGUUGAUGGUAGGCAGACCAGACAACAAGUAAUGUACAGAUCCAAGCUUGUGUGUCUCCAAAGCUUUAUCUGGGAUCUCUUUGUACAUGUUUGCCAUUGAGUUGUGGUCUUUCUUCUUCUUGGCAUACACAUCCAAGUCAUCUUUAUGUUCCUCUAGGGCAUUGAUCAGCUUGGCCCAUUCUUCAAUAGUGGAUUGGUACCUAGUACCUUCAGACAUCCAUAUGAUCUUCCCAUCUGGGUAAAAGUGAGCAGUGGAGUAAAACUGCAUGAUCAGCUCAUCAUUCCAUUUUGUGAGAUUCUGCCCAACAAAUUUGUCAACUCCACAUGCUUUGAAGCUGUCAUAGACUCCUGGGAAGUGAUCUUCCUUCUCCUUGGGGUAUUCCCAAUCAACCCAUCUCAUGUCACAUACAAUUGGCUUCUUGUCAAGCAAAAUUGUCUCAUAGAAGUCUUGUUGUUCUUUGGCAUGAAAUUUGUAAUCAACUGCAGUCCUUCUCCUCACAACAUAGGGAUCAGACUAUCUCCACAAUCUCAGUCCAACAUCUUUUCUGAUGUGCAUGUCUUCAGCCACUGGAUGAGCAUCAUUGUGGUCUGGAAUCUUGGGUUUCAGUUUUCUCAAAAUAAGAGACUCAUCAUCCUCUUCUUCAACUUGAGGCACUUGGGCCUUGUUCUUCUCUUCAGCAGGAAUACUUCUAGUGUUCCUCUUGGGCUUUGGGGGUUUCUGAGCUUGAGCUUUGGGAGCUGGCUUGGGCUUUGAUGGAGCAGCCCCUGACUUAAUAGCAUCUCCCAUGAGCUUCUGAGCUUUGGGUGCUGGAGCAUCCUCUUCUUCUUCCUCUUCUUCAGAAUCUCUUACCAUAGUUGAUUUUACGAGAACUUUUGCAGUUGUGGUUGUUGCCCUCUUCUUUUUCUUGUCAUCUCCUGCUGCUUCACCAUCGUCCGAUUCUAUGGUGAAUUUCAUGGUUUCUCCUGUUGGAGCUUUCCUUGGCUUUGACAUUGGGAUUCUUCUGGCAGGUGCCUUCUUGUGCAUCCCUGGCUUUGUUGCAGCAGUUGUGCCAUAUUCUUUCUUCAACACUUUCUUCUUUGAGGUGGCCUCAUCCUCAACAGCCACAUAAUCCUCAUCCUCAGAGUCUGAGGUUCUCUUCUUCCUGGUUCUGGUGGCUGCUUUGGGCAAGUUGCUAGGUGUGCUUCUACUGCCCUCAUCAUAGCUGCUUGAGGGAUCUGAACCCUCACUCAAUUGCACAUGUUCUUCAGAUCUGUUCUGACUGUCACUCUGGUUAGCCAUCUUGGCAAUCUUACUGACAGCAAACCCUGUGAAUAGAUGUAGAUGAGGUAGAGUGGAUGAGUAUCACAAAGUGCAGAGUUUUUGCAAAAUAGAUGACUCAAAAACAUAGUUUUGGUUCCCCACAGAAAGCAUUUCGGAGCUAUCGAUCUGUUAAACUCGGUGAUACCAAAGCAAUUUUGGAGCCUAAACUAGUGAACUCGGUCAGACCGAGUCACAGUUUGGUGGCACCGAGACUGCUAGGGUUUCACAGAGUCGAACUCGGUCGCAUCGAUGUGCAGUUUUCGGUCAGACCGAAAAUGCAUGUGCUAUGGCCUAAGCCAAAUCGGUGAGACCGAUUUCUAAAACUCGGUCGGUCUAAGAUGAGUUCGGCGGAGACCUAACCCUAAAUUUUCAAAUCCAAUCUAACCUAAAGGAAGUUUUCAGUGGAUGGAUUGUUUGCAUACAUGGUCAUGAUCAUGGCAAAGCAAUGUGCUAUGAAUCAGAGUUAAAGGAAUAGCACAUAGAGUCAAACCCAUACCCUAGUUCAGCGGGAGUUCGCUACGGCAGCAACGGCGGAGCAGAAAUCCGUUGACGACGAUGGAAACCAGCGGUGGGAGGUCGCUGGUGGCGAGGAGACGAUCCGCAGACCCGAGGAGGCAGAGCAGGAUACAUGCGCGGGCUGAGGAGUCUGAAGAAAUUUCCAAAAUCUCACCCAUGGGUUUAUAUAUCUCGACCCUAUCGGUGUGACCAAGUGGAACAACUCGGUGGCACCGAGAUGCAGAAUCGCAAGCGGUUACUGCAACUCGGUGUGACCGAAAAGUUCAAAUUGAUUGCACCAAGAUGGAAAACCUAGAUCAACUUAGUGAACUCGGUGUGACCGAAUUGGAUGACUCGGUCAUACCGAAAUGCACAAAGAGAUUUUGGAAGUUUAAGUCUAUGACGAAUCGGGGACUCCAAGUGCUCCUCACACAGAGUGGUUCAAAUCUGAUUUGAUCAAACUUUGUGAUGUAGCAUGAAUAGAAUUUGAGACGAGAAAAGCAUAGAUAGCUAGAGGGAGUUCUUAGGCAUUCUUGUCCAUCCAUUUGGCAAAAGAGAAAAAAACCAAACAAUCAAAGCAACAAAUGGAUGUCCUCGAAUGAGUAAAAUAUGCAAUCAACAUGCUCACACAAUAAAAUGGCAAAUGAAAUAUGUGACAAAGCAUGCACAAACAUUCUAGAAUCUAUCAAGCAAUUUUGUGAUGACUAGGUCAUCUAUAUAUGAGUAUAUUGACUUAGGAGUCAAAUGAGAACAUUUGAUCAUAGGUCAUACUCAUCAUUUAAGCACAAGUGGGGUUACCACAUUUACAUAAAGCAUUGUUGUGUUCACAUCAUUAGAGUUGCUUUAGCUCAAUUGAUUAGAGUAAAGCUCCCCCGGAUGUGAUAUCCCCCCUAAGAGGGAUGAACUAACCUUGGGUUUUGUCGAUGAUGACUUCAUGUAGGUGUUGAAGAUGUAGAUGCUCAAUGUUGAUGUAGAUCAUUUGGAGCAAUCCACUGGAGUGAGUUGCACUUUCAAUACCUACACGGGUUAGUCCCACAAGGAACAAACAAGGAUAUCCAUGGACAUAGAGUGAUGUUCACAUUAGAUGAUGUCCAUGAAAGCAUUAGGUUACCUUGUCCCUUGUCUUACCAACAAGAGGGUUUGUGACUCCUUGAACUAGUGCAAGAUAUGGAAGUUGUUUGCACAUGUCCUUGCCAAAAGAUAUGAGUGAAGUAUGUUGGCGGACUCACCCUCAAGAACUCUCUAGUUCCUUUUCUUCAGGAUCCACACCAUCUUGAUGGGAAUCCUUGGAGUUGUAGUCGUACUUGAUGAAGUGGAACUUGUUGUAGUCUUGGGAACCCACUUGACCGAGGCCUUGGGAGCUUCUUAAAAUGCAUCAAUCUCCUCUUGAAGCUUGUCCUUGCCUUUUUUGCUUGUGGUCUUGUGGUGGAAGAUCAUCUUGAGCUUGUGUUCCUUGGAAAGAAGUAGGAUCAUACUUCUCUUGUUGAGGAACAAAUUUCGUCUUGGGGUAUCGAUCUUCUUCCCACUCAACUCCAUUCGUAUUGAACUUUCGUUCAAAACCAACACCUUGAUUCUUCCGGUGCCUUCCUUGCUUGCGUACAAUUUCCUCAAAUUGCUUACUUCCGACAAGGCUCUUGUAAACACCUUUCUCUAUAAUUCCCUUCAAUAAGCUAUUUUCUUGCUCAAGUGUAACUUGGCUAAGAGAAUCAUUAGUGGAAUCAAGAGAACUACUAGAAGCAACAAUAUUGGAUUUAGCAUGGUUAUUGUUACUACUAGUUGAAGAAUCUUUCUUACUCUUGUUGCUAGAUUUUACUUGUGGCAUGUAAGUAGACAAGAGUAAACGCUUGGCAAUGUAAGAAGAGCUUUUCUUGCGAAGAUCAUCAUUGAUUGCUUUUAAGAACUCAUGCUCUUGCUCAAGGUUGAGCUUUUGAAAGCGUAGCUUCUCAUGAGUCUUUAAAAGUUCUCGAUGAUCUUCCAAGGUAGUUUCAUGAGCUAACUUAAGAGUGUUUAGUUCUUUAGUUAGACGCUCAAUCUCCUUCUUACCGUCGUCAUUCGUUUUAUCUUGAUUAGCAUGAUUAAUAGCAGGUUCAUCAUAGUUUUCAUAACUAGAGUUGUCAACAAGUAAAUCAUCAUCUCCUAGCAAAUCAUCUUCAUCACUAUUGAAACCAACAUACUCGGGGUGUGUUACCUUUGGACCUUUAGCCAUGAAGCAUCUUCCAAUUCCUUCAUUUGGUGAGUCAAAUAUGUCGUAGGAGUUGGUUGACACAAGUGCUAGGCCACCAACACCUUCAUCUUGAGUGUAUUCAGAGUCGGAGUGAUAACUUCUUUCAGAGUGAUGGCCGGAGUCGGAGCCGGAUACCCAUUCACCAACAUGAGCUUGAUGUUUUCGUUUUGUGUAGCUCUUUGAUGAUUUGUCCUUCCUUUCCGAAUCCUUGCUUCUCCGAGAGGGUCUACAUUCAUAGCGAUCAUCUCUACUCCUUCUCUCUCUUGGUGGUGAUUCUUCUCUUCUAUUUCUUAUUUUGGGAGAAUCUUCUAUUCUUUUGUAGGGAGCCGUACACUCAUUGGAGUACUGUCCGGGUCUUCCAAAAUUGUAGCAAUUUCGUUCACGACUUGAAGAUGUUUUGUCAUUGUAGGACUUUGACCUGGAACUUCUCUCCUUGCUUCUACUCUUGUAGAACUUGUUGAAGUUCUUCACCAUUAGGCUCAAUUCUUCAUUGAAGGCUUGUUUCUCACUUGAUGAUGUGGGAGCAUCACAUGAGGCUUUGUAAGCACCACUUGACUUGUUCUGGAGCUCUUCCGUAUCCUUAAGUGACAUCUCAUGAGCAACAAUUCUUCCAAUGUCUUCCGUUAGCUUGAGAUAUUUGUAAUUGGGCAUCAUUUGGAUUAAUGUGCACACGGUAUCAUAUUUUCCGUCCAAGGCUCUUAGGAUCUUCUUGAUGAUGAAUCUAUCGGUCAUCUCUUCACUUCCUAAGCCGGCAAUCUCAUUUGUGAUGAGAGCAAGCCUAGAGUACGUUUCAGCGACACCUUCACCAUCCUUCAUUUUGAACUUGUCAAGUUGACUUUGAAGCACAUCCAAUUUGGAUUCCUUGACGGAGUCGGUACAUCGUGCAUAUCAAUCAAAGUAUCCCAAAUUCCCUUCGCAUUCUCAAGACGGCUGAUUUUGUUGAAUUCUUCGGGGCACAAUCCGUUGAAAAGAAUAUCACAAGCUUGAGCAUUGUAUUGCAGCAUCUUUAACUCUUCCGCGGUAGCUUCACGGUUCGUUUCUCUCCCAUCAAAGAAUUCACCUUGCAAUCCAAUACACACAAUAGCCCAAACGGCAGGGUUAUGUCCAAGAAUAUGCAUUUUCAUCUUAUGCUUCCAACUAGCAAAAUUAGUACCAUCAAAGUAAGGACCUCUACUGUGGUAAUUUCCCUCGCUAGACGCCAUACUCUCCUAGGUUGUGAAACCAAGGCUAUGAUCACCAAAAGCUAUGGAAAUCAAGGCAAAUGGAGACCAAAGCUCUGAUACCACUUGUAGGAUCGAAAGUAUGUCUAGAGGGGGGUGAUUAGACUACUUGACCAAAUAAAAAUCUUGCCUUUUCCCAAUUUUAAGUCUUGGCAGAUUUUAGCAACUUAGCACUAGUCAAGUAAACAACCUACACAUGCAAGUCUAAGAGUAUAGCAGAGGAAUGUAAAACAUUGCACAUGAAGGUAAAGGGAGGAGUUUGGAGGGAGCAAACGCAAUGUAGACAUGGAGAUUUUUGGCGUGGUUCCGAUAGGUGGUGCUAUCGUACAUCCACAUUGAUGGAGACUUCAACCCACGAAGGGUAACGGUUGCGCGAGUCCACAGAGGACUCCACCCACGAAGAAGCAACCUUGCCUAUCCCACCAUGGCCAUCGCCCACGAAGGACUUGCCUCACUAGGGUAGAUCUUCACGAAGUAGGCGAUCUCCUUGCCCGUACAAACUCCUUGGUUCAACUCCACAAUCUUGACGGAGGCUCCCAAGUGACACCUAACCAAUCUAGGAGACACCACUCUCCAAAAGGUAAUAGAUGGUGUGUUGAUGAUGAACUCCUUGCUCUUGUGCUUCAAAUGAUAGUCUCCCCAACACUCAACUCUCUCUCGCAUGUUUGGAUUUGGUGGAAAGAUGAUUUGAGUGGAAAGAAACUUGGAGAAGGCUAGAGAUCAAGAUUCAUAUGGUUGGAAUGGGAUAUCUUGACCUCAACACAUGAGUAGGUGGUUCUCUCUCAGAAAAUGUAUGUUUGGAAGUGUAGGCAUGUUCUGAUGGCUCUCUCCACGAAUGAAGAGUGGGUGGAGGGGUAUUUAUAGCCUCCACACAAAAUCUAACCGUUACACACAAAUCACCAAACUUAGUGGGACCAAAUAAUGAAACUCGGUCAGACCGAUUUAGUUCAAAAUGUGAACGUUAGGAUUUUCGGUGGGACCGACAUGUCAACUCGGUGAGACCGAUUUCAUUAGGGUUAGGGCAUAACGUAAUCUCGGUGGGACCAAUUACACAAACUCGGUGAGACCGACUUUGGUAAUAAGCUAACCAGAGCGUUGGUCAGGCAAACUCGGUGGGAGCGAUUCGCUCAUCUCGGUGAGAUCGAAACGUUACGAAGGGGAAACAGAGAGUUUGCAAUGCGAACUCGGUGGGACCGAUUGCUCAUUUCGGUUGGACCGAAAUGUUACGAAGGGAAACAGAGAGUUUGCAAUCCCAUCUCGGUGAGAUCGAGAUCCCUAUCGGUGAGACCGAAAUGACUAGGGUUUUGUGGCAGUGGCUAUGUCAACUGAACUCGGUGACGCCGGAUAGAAAGUUUCGGUGGGGCCGAUUUUGACUUUUGGUUUGGGACAAAUGUGGAUACGAGAAAGUGGUUGAGGGGUUUUGGAGCAUAUCACUGAGCAUUUUGAGCAAGUAACCCAUUAGGAAACACCUCAUCCCCUUUUAGUAGUAUUGGCUUUUCCUAUGGACUCAAUGUGAUCUUGGAUCACUAAAAGUAAAAUGUAGAGUCUUGAGCUUUAGAGCUUGAGCCAAUCUUUUGUCCUUAGCAUUUUGAGGAGUCCACAUUUCUAAUCCAUGCCAUGCCAAUCAUUGAGCUUUCCUGAAAUGUUUAUCUUGAAAUAGUAUUAGCUCAAUGAGCUAUAUGUUGUUAGGAAUUACCAAAACCACCCAGGGAUAGUUGCAUUUUCACUUCGCCUAAGCACUACGAAAAUAUGACCGAGGGAGUAAACAGUGGAGGGGGGCACCGCACACGGCUAAACAAUUGUCUGUCGUGUGCUAGGCACCCCCUCCUCAUAUAUAUAGGUGGGAGGGAGAGGGGAGAGGCAAAGGGGUGCCCCAAGUAGGACCGAAUCCUACUUGGGCUCCUGCCCUUGGCCGCGCCCCCCUGCCAUGUUUGUCGGAGGGGGAAGGAAAGAGGGGGGAGAGGGAAGGAAGUGGGAAUCCUAGUCCACACCUUCCUUUCCCUUCUCCUCUUUCCUUAUCAUCCUUAGGACGGCCCAUAUGGGGGGCGCACCAGCCCCUUGUGGCUGGUGCGUUUCCCCUCUUGGCCCAUAAGGCCCAUAUCUUUUGCCAGGGGUGCCCGGAACCCCUUCCUGUGACAUAUCUCCGGUCAAUAACCAAUAGCGGAACCUGGAUGCUCAUAUUGGCUCCUACAUAUUCUACGAAGAUCUUUAUCGGUCGAAACGUUAUGACAACAUACAUAAUUCCCUUUGUCCAUCGGUAUGUUACUUGCCCGAGAUUCGAUCGUCGGUAUCUUCAUACCUAGUUCAAUCUCGUUACCGGCAAGUCUCUUUACUCGUUCCGUAAUACAUCUCCUCAUGGCCAACUCCUUAGUUGUUUGCUUGCAAGCUUAUGAUGUGUAUUACCGACAGGGCCCAGAGAUACCUCUCCGAUACUCGGAGUGACAAAUCCUAACACUAAAAAAUCACACAUCCGUGACAUUUUGGGCCGAUCGAAUUUUUUCUGUCACGCUUAUGACACUUCUAUGACGAUAAUUGUGACAAAACCCGGUAUCAUCAUAGAUGUGGUGGGCUCCUACUUCUAUGACAAAGAAUCAUGACAGAAAAUGGGCUUUUCGUCCUGGGCGGGCCGGAGACGCACCUGCAUGAAAUUCUUUGCGCCGUCGAUGAUGAAAAAAUUAUGGUAGAAGCGAGGGCGAGGAAAAUAUCAGGGAGUUCCCGGUUACGGUGGGUGGUCGGGGCCGAGCGAUGCACGGAGGGAUUGCGUGUUUCUCUCGUACAUGUACGCGCGUGGGUGCGAGGCGUUGGGCUGUAACUGAACCCGAGCGAGGCGUUCGCCUACUGAACCUGAGCGAUUGCACUGCAGACUACGCGUUACUGAACCCGACCGAUCGUUCAAUCUGGCUGUUAACUAAACCCGAUCGAGCGAUUCCUUCUCUACUGCUGCUAACUGAAGCCGAUCGAACCUGCUGUCUCUUGAUGAAUAGUGAGCUUGUUGGGGGUUGAAUGAACAAUUACUGGUGGGGGUUAGAUGAACAAGACCCCGUGGUAGUAGAGGUCGUUGCCGCUGGAUGAAUAGGACCUCGAUCGAGCCAGUUGGGGGUGGAUGAACAGGACCCCAUGGAGGGCUGGAUGAACAAAAGUCGGUGGAGGGCUGGUUGAACAGUAGCCGGUGGAGGGCUUGUUGAGUAGUAGCCCGUGGAGGGGUGGUUGAACAGGACCCCAUGGAGAGGGCUGGUUGAACAGUAGCCGGUGUAGGCUGGAUGAACAGGACCCUGUGGUGAAUAGUAGCUGGUGGAGGCUGGAGGAAGUCGACGGGGGAUGAACAGUAGUAGGUGGAGGAAGUCGAUGGUGGAUGAACAGUAGCCCGUGAAGGCUAGAGCGAGGCAGUAGACGCUGGAUGAACAGUAGCCAGUGGAGUCCCGUUUUGCGGUAUGCCACACCCCUCUCGAUGAACAGGACCCCCGUUUCGACCGUAGGCGCUCCAACACAAGUCCGUUUCCUCCGUUUUGCGGUACACCACACCCUCCCAAUUAACAGCACCCCGUUUCGACCGUAGGAGCUCGAACACAAGUCUGUUUCCUCUGUUUUAUGGUAUGCCAGACCCUUCUCGAUGAACAUGACCCUGUUUCGACCGUACGCGGUCGAACACAAGGCCGUUUUCCUCCGUUUUGCGGUACACCAGACCCCGUUUCGGCUGUUCCGUCCAAGCCAGUAGGCUCCCAUUGAACACAACCCAUUCCGACCCACUCUGCUGCCUCCCGAUGAACAGGACGCGUUUCGACCCAGUCACUUGGCUCCCGGUGAACACAACGCUGUUUCCUCCGUUCCGACCCAGCCAGUUAGCUGAAGAUGAACAGGACAACGUCGCUGUCGUCCGUUGCCUCUCCAUGUACAUGAGCCCUGGCCGUCCGUAUGCAGGAGUACGCGUUUCGAGACCCCGCUCGUAUGUAUGUACGUGGCCAUGAUUUUUUGGUGUGUGGCUUUAUGUACGUGUACACGGUUUAGACGGGACAACCUGAACUGCUACGUGGGGGGUUCUACUAUGACAUGUGCCGCUACUUACUCGGCCAUGGUUCAUCGUUGCAGAGCGACCGAUCGACCAGUAUGUAUGUACACGUUUGCGACAAGACAGACAAUGCUACGUACACUUCGACCGGGUGGGUCCCAGCUGUCAGGGAUGAUAAGGACGCACUUCCUUGCGUGCGAAGAUAUAGCUGCUGGGUCGACCCAGCUGUCAGGGGGGAAUCGUUUUUUUGCCAAUAAUAAGGAUGCACUUUCUUGCGUGGGAAGAUGUAGCUGGUGGGUCCCAGCUGUUAGGGGGAGAAAACAUUAUUUUUCAGGGUAAAAAGGAUGCGGUUGCAUGCAGGCGUCCAUGGGCGUGGUGUGUCCCCAAUGUCAGCCUCUCACGUACAGUCAUCUUCCGAUGACUCCCAUUUGUUGACCACACCGUGCAGAGCGCACCAAGCCGGUGGACAACGGUGAGGCCCCAGACUGGAAUGCCCCGGAGAUGGCGAAGACGCGGCAGUGGAGUCGUAGACGGAGAGGAGCGAGAAACUUGACUGGUUCGGGUGCGGGGUGAGCCUACACUCGACAGAGAAUAACAGGAGGUGCAGAGGAGUGGACGGAUGGCCUGGGCGUUGGUGGGGUAGCGUUUCACAGCGAGGCGCGCAAAACAGCGCAGCUUGACACCGGAGGCUGGAGCAGGCAGUCCCGGCAGCGAUGGGGAAGAAGACAAGAGAUUGAAGAAGAAUGCCCGCCGUUUGAUGUAAAUCCAAUGCCUUGCUUAGGCUUCGACCUUUGUAUUUUUACUUUUUGUGAAAGUGCUUAGGCUUCGACCUACUGGCCCACAUGUUAGCCAGUCCAUUUGUUUUUUAGUCCAUUUGGUGGGCUGGUUGAAACAAUGAUGUAGCGCCUAUGCAACCCGUUUAUAUAUUAUGGUAGAAUUUAAAGCCCAUUUGCAUUGUUCUAGAAAUCCAGGGACUUGAUGGGCUGGGUGAAAUAUCAUGUUGGGAUGGACGGAGAAAUGUUAUAAAAACAUAAACACAUGAUUGCAUGUCUAUUACUGCAUUGAUCAGUAAAAUCUUUGCAAGCUUAUGUACACAAUCAGUAGGAGUUAACUUGCCAAGUUAUAUAUAAACAAUUAUUAUUAUUAUUUUGUAAGAACUUUCAAUUUAUGAAAUAAAAUAUCAUUUUAAUUUGAUGAGUUAAUAGGGUGUGGGGUAUUAUUAUAUUUUAGGCUAGAAAUGGGACAAUUUAGUUGGUUCUAGGGAAAACUACUAGGAGAAACUCAGAUUACAUCGAAAAAGAAAGUGGGAGAAAAUUUAGAUAUAGGAUUAAUGAAAAUGAAAAAUAAAGGAAGUGGGAAGGUCUAUAAAAUGGUUGGACGAACGACAGGUUUAAUGGAACCUUAUGUUGUUUCUAUUAUAUAUAUGUAAUAAAAUAAAAAAAGAUAUGAAUAUAAAUAUAUAUACUAUUAUAGAAGGGAAAGCAUAGGUUCAGUUUUGCAUUCUUAUAGAAAAAUAGAACUGAGCUGUGCAUCGUCUUGAAAAAACAAACAUUACUUGGGCUGCUGAUGUUAUAGACAAGCUAGACUAGGAGGCCCAGAGGCCGCUGACGGUGUCCUGGACUAGGGGGUACUCACCACGUCGUCUCCCGAUCAGUUAGAUUGGGCCGAGGACCCCCAUGGCCGUAUACUCUUGGGCCAGUUCGGACAGCCGAUGACAUGCAUGAGGAAGAUUCCACAAGACUUGGUGAUCAAGACAAGGACUCCUCCCCACCAACUUAUUCAACUAGGACUCUUGUUAUCCUAGGCCUCUGGUGCAUUAUAUAAACCGAGGCUAGGCUAGUUGAUAGAGAUAGGCUAGAUCAUUAUGACAUUACUCAUCAUACCUCUAGGGUUUAGACCACAACAUAUGAUCUCGAGGUAGAUCAACUCUUGUAACCCUAUAUUCAUCAAGAUCAAUCAAGCAGGAAGUAGGGUAUUACCUCGAUAGAGAGGGCCCGAACCUGGGUAAAACAUCGUGUCCCCUGUCUCCUGUUACCCAUCGAUCCAUGACGCGCAGCUUGGGACCCCCUACCUGAGAUCUACCAGUUUUGACACCGACAAUGGUGCUUUCAUUGAGAGUUCCGCUGUGUGAUCGGCAAAGGAUCAAUGGCUUGUCGGCAGAUUAACUGCGACGUUGGCAUCUUCGUCACCGGCUCAGCUGGUCACCUUGGUUCGACCGAGGACUGCACUCCGCGUCAGAUCAUCAUGUUCGGACUAUGACCUUCAUCAACAUCAACUCUGAUCUCUCUCAAGAUCAUGGAGGAAUCAUCCAUGGAGCCCGGGGGCUCAACGUCAACAUUGCCCUCGUGUGACCGUGAUGUUUUUCUGGACAACAAACUUGCAUCCACUGCCACCACCUCCCCGAGCAUCGCUAUGACGAUUCUUUCGGUGGAAUUAUGCAGAAUUAAGUCUACAACAACCAUGCGAAAUUUCGUCGAGUUCCAAUGGAGGAAUCUCCGGCAAUCUACGAUAUACCGGAGCCCUGUCAAAUCUGGACGGGAAUCUGGACGAGUUUAGGGCGUGGUCUCCAGCACCUAGCUCGGACGUCCUUUGGGAGAUCCAACCGUUGAUCUGCUGCGAAAUUCCUAUAUCUACAACCCCUCAAAAUUUCAGCUUGAUCUGACAGUCCAAACUCCGGGAACCUUCCGAUUAGUGCAUUACUUUUCGGAUCUGUUUUCUAUGCGAAUACGGAUCCGACCAGAAUUCAUGUUUCUUUAUGAACGUGAUAUUGAAGAAUCUUUUUAAAAGGAAUCUUAUUCUAGGGUAUUGUGCGUUGUUCUUAACACGUGCCCAUAAAAUUUUAAGCCUUCUCUGAGGCACUCUUCACCAUCGCGCUGGUGUCAAACCAGUCUGGUAACAUUGGUCCACGUCUGCUGACCUGCGCUAGACACGUCGUUGCUUUGUUGAGCCGAGCUCGACUUCUUUGGAUCAUCAUCUCGGAAAGCCGAAUAAGGGUUCGGCAUCGCGAAGGAUAAAUCAUCACCAACCUCGCCGCCCAACGGAUUACACGGAGCGGGCACAUCGGCAUCACCGCAUGGUCACUUCAUCAAGCCGGCAUUGACCACGUCAUGAGUUAUGACCUGCAUCGGCAUGGCCGCACCAUUGCUUCUUCGAGGCGAUGUCCAUCAUGCCGAACUACUUCAACACCUCGGCUGACAUGGCAGCUACAACAUCUCCGUACCGACCCGCUCCGUCACCUCGGCUAGACCGGGGGCUUCACCAUCUCUUCAUCAAUCUACUCAGGAGACUUCGGCGUCACCCGCCGACCAACUUCGUCACAUUAGCUGGACCGGGGGCUUUGCCUUGGCGAGCCAACCUUUACCAGCAUCGCCAUGUCGUUGCUUCACCGUCCAUCAGGCAAUGGGUGUGCGGAUCGAUUCCCAAUUUUGGGAGUCACUUUUCUUCGGACUGCUACAACAGAUAAACUAGGUGCUAUUAAUCCUAGUAAUUUUUUCUUGCUUGGGUUUAUUUUUCCCAAAGAAUUAUUACUCUGGUUUGUUUCAUCAUCUGUGCACAGGUCUAUCAAAUGGUGGCCGCAUUAACGACGGUCGCGUGGUGGUUCGGUCAGUUUCCGUAUACAGUUCGGCGAAUAUCGCAUCCGAAACUCGGACCGGCCUAUGAAUUCAGCCUUUGCCACGCCUUCACCGCAUCACGCCGACGCCCUGCAUCGACAUUGACUUCGGCGCCAGGCCACAUAUCUUUAAAUAAAUUAUUUUUGUGAAAAGCAAUUAUCCUUUUUGGACCACACUAUUUUACAUGUGUAGGUAAUCGACUUCAACUGUGUCACGCGGUCACUUCAGCAAGCCGACGCCGUCGUCCCAAUCGGCGUAAAUCGGCUUGCGUGAUCACCUUGUUGGUCGAGUUGCCAUACCGACGUGUUCGGUUGCCUCGGGGACUUCGGCAUCGCCGAGAGAGCUCUACCUCAUCGAGUGUUCGGCACACAGGCCAUAUUUCUUUUAUUACUCACUUUGCAUAAAUUGUUUAUUAUGCAACAAUUUUUUUUAAAAUUUAUUAUUAUUACCAUUGUCUCCGGUUCGCACUAUUUUCUGUGCACAGGUAAAUGAUCCGGGUUGGGCAGCGCUGUCACCUCGGCGUACCGACAUACCACGUCACCUUGGCUAGACCGGGGGCUUCGUCAUCACUUCAUUAACCCACGCUGGGGAUUUCGGCGUCACUCUACCGGCCUGCAUUGGCCGUGCUAUGUCACCACUUCGGAGUGUCGAGCUCUUCGCUUCGCCACCUCGGGACCGGCUUGGGGCAUGGAAUCUUGUCCCGCAUCAAGCUCGGACCGCGUCAUCAAGGCCGAACACAUUAACCAGCUAAGUCGCUUUCAUGCUAAAAAACAUUCAGUUUUAAAUUUUGUUCGGUUCGAACAAGCAUUAUAUUUUUUGGCAAAAAGUUGUAUGUGAACUUCCUUGUCAAAACUUUGUUUGUGACACACAAAUUCAAAUACCCCGUUUACUUGGGGGCUUCCUUUAUGAAGCCUUUCCUCUUGCAUAUGAUUAUACUUGUAUGGCUUCGUUCCUUGCUCGUGUAUUACGCCACAAUAUGCACCAUGAUGACUUAAGUGUUCCGCAAGCUGGGUUGCCUUGCUCCUGUGUUUACCCCUACGUUCCCGAUUGUUCGGCUAGGGAGUAAAGGGAGCACCUCUGCGAUUGUCAUGAUCGGGUCAUCCGAGCUCGGACCUCAGACUGGGUGAGGCCAAAAGCUAGCGCUCUUAUUGUUUUCAAUCAUGGUCGGCACACAACGGAACUCAUGAAUACAAAAAAUCUAUUGCACAAGUCUCAUAGUAACAAUGAGCAACCGAAGAAAGGUAUCAGUGGAGGUACUAUUUUCUUCGAAGAUGCUUCUUACACUUCGUCAGUAAUAUAGCAUAAGUUCCCUAAGCGCGCUUUGUCUGUUACAACCUUAUGGCCUGAUUGCCUGGUUAUCGGAAACACCAUCGAUAUUCUUGACAGGUGGAGUAGAUAACACUUUUCGACCCUUGACCGAAGAGGGAGAAGCCGACGGUCGGUUAAGACGCGUUUAAAGUUCGGGUGAAUACAGAUAUGAUAUAAGUACUUUGGUACAUACAAUCGUUAUACAUAAAAUUCUUUUACCCAAGUCACUCGGGGGCUCUUAAAUUAGUAUGAGCCAUUUUAUAGUAAAUGUGUUUUCUUCUUGAUCGUUGCAAAGUCUUUUUCUACCGCUCCUUUUUCGACUGGAGUGUAUGGUCAAUAGCCGGAUAGCCUGUCUUCUCUCUUAAAGCCGCUCGAGUUUAGUUCGGUAAACUGGCCUCGGAGAAGUACUCCUCCUUCGGGAUAAGGAGCUUGAAGCCUUAGGUUGACCCGCUUGAAAGUCUUGAGAUUGGAUGUGUCAUGUUAAACCACGACAGAAGCACAAUCUUUUUUCUCCAAUUUUCGGAUUGGCACCGAACACUUGAUUAGUUUGGGCGUAAAGUUUUUAUGAAGUUUUUUUUGGUUUCCCAAACCUAUGGCACUUUUAACCUAUCUGUGUGUUUCCAGCAUAAGUCUCGCAGUGCAACGCCGGACCCUUUAGAGAUUCGGCAAAAACAUUCUCGGAUAUUGCUAUGUAUGCAUCGGUUUUGAAUUGUGUCUUUGGUCAAUAGUUGGGUUGCCCGGCUCCUGUGCUUGCCUCCUACGUUCCGCUUUGUUCGGCUAGGUGCGCAAAGGGAGAACCACUGUGAUUGUGCUUCCAGCUCAAAUGGUUAAGCACCUCAGUGGAGAAAGCCGAAUACUGAUUGUCACAAUAAGUGCAAACUUGUCAGCAAUCCGAUGACUGUGUUAAACUAUAAGAUCGAUAGAGGUCACCCCGUGUUAAAUGAUGGGCCAUUCAUAACAUUGGACGAAGUGUUUACGGCAUGACCUCGACUGUCGCCGAACACUAACCGGGGCUAGUAACAUGCCUCCCAGCUUUAAACUCCUAUGACUAAGUGAAAGUUAUAAAGCCCGCAUAUCUGAUUGCCUUGUUUCCGCUAACACAACCGCCUUCGGGCACUGAGACAUCAGCUAAUGGUUAUUUUGUUAUUCCGAAAACACCCUGCGUAGCAUCUACAAGGGGGUGGAAGCUGACGAUGGGCCACUUUCAAAUGAUAAACGGUCGCAACGGAGUCAAAAUAAACAUAUCAUCGGCGUUUGUAUUUAAUAUACAAGGGCCUCCUUCCACAAUCAUCGUUAUCAAGCCAUAAAUAUGCAUCAAUUUGACUUAAGAUUCUUGCCAAUCUGGGUUGCCUGGCUCCUGUGCUUACCCCUACGUUCCCAAUUGUUCGGCUAGGUGGUAAAGGGAGCACCUCUGUGAUUGUUACUACCGGGUCAUCCGAGUAAGUACCUCAGACUAGGUGAAGCCGAAAGCUAGCAAUCUUAAAGGAUCACAUUGGUCGACAACGACGGAAGUGAAAAUUUUGGUUCAUUAAUACCAUAGAGUUCGGGAACUUUCCCCGAACUAAAUCCUCAGUAUUUUCCUCCCACAUUGAUUGGAGGUGAGGUUUCAUGAUCAUGAUAAGCAUGACGACCCAAAGAAAGGAACCGAUAGCGGGACUAUUUUCUUUGGAAGAUGUUUCUUAUGAUAAAACGUAAUAUAACAUAUCUCUCCAUGUAUAUUUGUUUAUAAAACCGUAUGGCCGGAUUGCCUUGUUUGUCGUGAAUCUUUGCUCUCAUAAAGGCUUUAUAAAGUGGGACAAACACUCCCUAGCUACUGGCCGAGGAGGUUGAAGCCGAUGCUCGGUCAAUAAAGUUUUGUACAAUGCUGAUCCGACCACUAAUGAUGUAAAGUACUUGGUACAUAGAAUCAUUACACAUAAAUUGUGAGCAAAAAUCAAUUUUUCCGCAGCCAAUCUUUUAAAGAGUCAAUGGCACAAUCUCUUUGAGACAACCAAGCAGCUGACAUAAUGCUCUCAUAGUUCCUUAUUGGGAUUAAUUUCCUAUCUAUUAAGCUCCUUGAGGCCGACCUUGGUGAGCUCAGCUUUCGUUAGCUCUAGCUCCUUUAUGAUAUCUUUAUUCUCUUUCCGAGAAGUUUGUGUUAAACACAACAAAAUUUUCUGUCAAACGGAUAUCGAUCCUUAAUUCGGCCACCUGUGCCCACAUUAAGGCUCGGGGGCUACUGGGCUUCGCGCUUAUCAUUUACUACUAAUAAAGGAGCACAUGGAUCUCCUGAUCUGGUGUUGCCACCCGACCAGUGUCUUGGGGGCUACUGCAUUGCCUAUUCAAUGCAUAGAAGUUUAAGUGCAAUGCAGUUUCCGAGGAGAUUAUGAUCCUCAGGUUGGUCGGCCGCACCCAACCUGAGUCUUGAGGACUGAGCACGCCGCUUUUUGUGUCCCGAAGUAUCCUGCCGAGCUAGGACUUGAUCCUCAGGCCGAUUUUGCGAAUCAACCUAAGUCUCAGGGGCUACUGGGAUCAGCAGUCUUAUGUCAUCCUUCAGGUGCAUCUCGGGUUUUAGACCAACACACACCUUGAGGGCUACUGGAUAUAUAUCUCGGCAGAGAAUAAAUUGCACCAAUAAAAAAUAUUCACAAAAAAUCAGCCCGUAGUCGGGGUGGUGCACCACCUCGGAAGCAGUCCGGCAUAAAGCUCGGGCGCCAGUGGCUGGCUCCAUAGAGGGCAUUUCCGGCAUUAAGCUCGGCUAAACUCCUUCAACUUUUUUGCACCAAGGUGAUCCAUGACACCUCGGAUAUAGUCCAGCAUUGGAGCUCGGAUACAGUCCGGCGUUGGAGCUCGGAUACAUUCCAGCGUUGGAGCUCGGAAGCGGUCCGACGUUGGUGCUCGGCUGCAAAAGAUACCUCAAAUGCGGUCUGGCGUUGGAGCUUGGACGCAAGAGGACACUGCCGCCCAGGGAACAACUUCAAACCCGAGAUGUGGCAUAAAAAUAACCAGGCAUUGAUAAAGGCCGAUAACUUAAAGGGGCUCCUCGGAUACCCGACGUGUAAACUCUCCGGAUUCACUUCGGCGAUUCUCAAGAUCGAAGAUGAGAUGAUUUGUUGAACCAGUUUUCAAGACCGACGACCGAAGAUGAAGAAUAGUUCAAAAGAAUCGAGGAGCGUUCCCAACUUGAAGACCGGUUCAGGGGGCUACUGAUGGUGUCCUGGGCUAGGGGGUACUCACCACGUCAUCUCCCGAUCAGUUAGAUUGGGCCGAGGACCCCCAUGGUUGUAUACUCAUGGGCCAGUUCGGACAGCCGAUGACAUGCAUGAGGAAGAUUCCACAAGACUUGGUGAUCAAGACAAGGACUCCUCCCCACCGACGUAUUCGACUAGGACUCUUGUUAUCCUAGGCCUCUGGUGCAUUAUAUAAACCGAGGCUAGGCUAGUUGAUAGAGAUAGGCUAGAUCAUUAUGACAUUACUCAUCAUACCUCUAGGAUUUAGACCACAACAUAUGAUCUCGAGGUAGAUCAACUCUUGUAACCCUAUAUUCAUCAAGAUCAAUCAAGCAGGAAGUAGGGUAUUACCUCGAUAGAGAGGGCCCGAACCUGGGUAAAACAUCGUGUCCCCUGUCUCCUGUUACCCAUCAAUCGAUGACGCACAGCUUGGGACCCCCUACCCGAGAUCUGCCGGUUUUGACACCGACAACCGCUUGGUACCUGCUGGAUCCAAAAAAAGUUGAAACAUGUCAUGGGCUGCGCAUGUUAAACAACAAAACGUAGGCCAUGGACCUGGUGGGCCCGGGACUAUCAGCCUCUCGACGAAUAGUUGUCUCCCGAUUCCUCUUGUUUUGCUGACCAUGUUGGGAACGACAGGCGGCGGCGCCGCGGCGAGAGCACCAAGGCGGAUGAUGACGUCGAUACCUCAGACCGAACGAACCGGAGCGGGGGAAGACGCAGGCGGAGGGCAGUACGAGGGUUGACUUGUUCGGGUGCAGGGUGGGCCGGUGGAGCUGCCACCGCCGGACAAUGUAUGGGAGUAGAGGGAUGGCCUGGCCAACAUCAUAGGCUAUGAUGGGUCGCCGAGGCGUGCGCGGCAGCGCCGCCAGCCACUGUAUAGGAAGAGGACAAAAGAUUGAACAAAAUAAAGAAAUACAAAUGGAUAGAUGGUUGGUCCCAAAUGUCGUACGAGACUUGCUGGGUCCACCUGAGAAGGGGAAUAUGAGGAAGGAUAUUCAAAGCAUGGCAGCCCAGUGAACUAGUUACAUACAUAAACAAAUAGCCACUAAAAAAGCAAACAGGUUAACGGGUUCUUAGACGAAAUAUUUAGGACAAAACAGAUAAUUACUGUUGGGGAAUGUUCAAAAAAAUUCCUACGAUCACUCAAGAUCUAUCUAGGAGAAGCAUAGCAACGAGACGGGAGAGUGUGUCCAUAUACCUCGUAGACCGAAAGCGGAAGCGUUUAGUAAAGCGGUUGAUGUAGUUGAACGUCUUCACGAUCCAACCGAUCCAAGUAACGAAUGUAAGGCACCUCCGUGUUCAGCACACGUUCAGCACAAUGACGUCCCUCGAGCUCUUGAUCCAGUAGAGGGUCAAGGGAGAGUUCCAUCAGCACGGCGGCAUGGCGACGGUGUUGGUGAUGUGAUCCGCGCAGGGAUUCGCCUAAGCACUACGACAAUAUGACCGAGGUGGUAAACUAUGGAGGGGGGCACCACACACGGCUAAGAAACAACUAUUGUGUCUUUGGGGUGCCCCCUGGCCACGUAUAUAAAGGAGGGAGGGAGGAGGAGGCCGGCCCAAGGGGGGCGCACCAAGGGGGGGAGUCCUACUAGGACACCGUUCCUAGUAUGAUUCGGCCCCCAUUUUCCUUCCAACAGAGAGGGGGAAAGGGGAAGGGGGAGAGAGGGAGAAGGAAAGAGGGGGGCUGCGCCCCCUCCCCUUGUCCAUUUUGGAUUGGGGCAAGGGGGCGCGCGCCUCCUCCCAUGGUCUGCCUCCUCUCCUCCACUAAAGCCCAAUAGGCCCAUUAACUUUCCCGGGGGGUUCUAAUAGCCUCCCGGUACUCCGAAAAUCCCCGAUCUUUUUCGAAACCAUUCCGUUGUCCGUAUAUAACCUUCCAAUAUAUCAAUAUUUACCUCUCGACCAUUUCGAGACUCCUUGUCAUGUCCGUGAUCUCAUCCGGGACUUCAAAAAAACUUCGGUCACCAAAACACAUAACUCAUAAUACAAAUUGUCAUCGAACGUUAAGCGUGCGGACCCUACGGGUUCGAGAACUUUGUAGACAUGACCGAGACAUAUCUCCGGUCAAUAACCAAUAGCGGAACCUGGAUGCUCAUAUUGGCUCCUACAUAUUCUACGAAGAUCUUUAUCGGUCAAACUUCAUAACAACAUACGUUAUUCCCUUUGUCAUCGGUAUGUUACUUGCCCGAGAUUUGAUCGUCGGUAUCCUCAUACCUAGUUCAAUCUCAUUACCGGCAAGUCUCUUUACUCGUUCCGUAAUACGUCAUCCCGCAACUAACUCAUUAGUCACAUUGCUUGCAAGGCUUAUAGUGAUGUGCAUUACCGAGAGGGCCCAGAGAUACCUCUCCGAUACACGGAGUGACAAAUCCUAAUCUUGAUCUAUGCCAACUCAACAAACACCUUUGGUGACACCUGUAGAGCAUCUUUACAAUCACCCAGUUAAGUUGUGAUGUUUGAUAGCACACAAAGUGUUCCUCCGGUAUUCGGGAGUUGCAUAAUCUCAUAGUCAGAGGAAUAUGUAUAAGUCAUGAAGAAAGCAAUAGCAAUAAAACUAAACGAUCAUUAUGCUAAGCUAACGGAUUGGUCUUGUCCAUCACAUCAUUCUCUAACGUUGUGAUCUCGUUCAUCAAAUGACAACACAUGUCUAUGGUUAGGAAACUUAACCAUCUUUGAUUAACGAGCUAGUCAAGUAGAGGGAUACUAGGGAAACUCUGUUUGUCUAUGUAUUCACACAUGUACUAAGUUUUUGGUUAAUAUAAUUCUAGCAUAAAUAAUAAACAUUUAUCAUGAUAUAAGGAAAUAUAAAUAACAACUUUAUUAUUGCCUCUAGGGCAUAUUUCCUUCAGUCUCCCACUUGCACUAGAGUCAAUAAUCUAGAUUACAUAGUAAUGAUUCUAACACCCAUGGAGUCUUGGUGCUGAUCAUGUUUUGCUCGUGGAAGAGUCAACGGGUCUGCAACAUUCGGAUCCGUAUGUAUUUUGCAAAUCUCUAUGUCUCCCUCCUUGACUUGAUCGCGGAUGGAAUUGAAGCGUAUCUUGAUGUGUUUGGUUCUCUUGUGAAAUCUGAAUUCCUUCGCCAAGGCUAUUGCUCCAGUAUUGUCACAAAAGAUUUUCAUUGGACCCGAUGCACUAGGUAUUACACCUAGAUCGGAUAUGAACUCCUUCAUCCAGACUCCUUCAUUUGCUGCUUCCGAAGCAGCUAUGUACUCCGCUUUAUAUACACCAAACUAUAGUGUUUUUCUUUCAAGUUUGUGAACAUGUAUUAUUCUAUUUUGGAUCCGUUGCAACGCACGGGCACAUUGCUAGUUAGAUCAAUAUAGUCGGGAUUCACCAAGGAGCAAAACCAAGUUGUAGGCUGCUCCUGUCGUGUUGGCGUAGCAACUCAGGGCUCAUUCGGUUUGGAGGAAAUCAUGACGUAGGAAUUAGGAGUAGUAUAGGAAUUUGAUAGGAUGGCACUUGCCAUCGUAAGGAAUUGACUUGCCUCGUUCCUACGCUCAAAAUGAGCUUUAAGUGUAUGUGUAGUUUCCUCCAAAAACACAGGAGAUGAGUAGUAUUCCUACGAAAUUCCUAUACGCAUUUCCUAUAAACCGAAUGCAUAUAUAGGAAAUUUUCCUCCGGAAUCCUUGUUACUAUGUUAUUCCUACGAAAAUCCUCCAAACCGAAUGAGGACUCAAGUAGGGUCAGUCCGCACACAAAAUGGUGACACACUUAACAGGACCCCUUUGGCCGACAUGUGGCUCAUCCACCAUCUUAUUCCACGUGUGAUGCACCAAAUUACAGUUCAGAGCAGCGGUUGGACUUGGAGGCACCCGGUCGUAGCGCCGAAGUAGUAGUAAAUGAGCGAUGAGGGGUCAAAUCACAAAGCCCCACCUUUCCCGCAUUAAGCUGGACGGACGAAGCAACCAUCAUUUCACUCUAGGGCGCAAGAGCAUAAAGAAAAGAGCAAACCAAUGAUGCGUGCAGCAGCUACCUAGGGCACCCUAGGGUAGGGGCCUCCACUACAAUUCCAAUUUUUUUUAAAGUGCCUCCACUACAAAUCCGCUUCUCCCUCAUUCUCUUGAAGAAAACUGAUGAUGCGUGCGGCGGUAGGGUUUGUAGGAGUACUAUGGCGUGCGGGGCCAUGUCGUAGUAAAAGGGAGAGGGAUUGAGUUCGAGUCGAUGCCUUAAUAUGUGUGGGCCGCUUGGUUUUACGGGAACGAGGCAGCAUUUUUGGUUUGGGGACCAGUGGAGAUAUAUGUACAAAAAAUUGUGGACGUAGGUUCAACCGAAAGGCAAUGAUGCAUGGGCCCUGCAUUUUGAUAUACCCGCGGCCGCGUGAAAUUUGCUACUCUACCUAAAACUAGUAAGGUACACAUGCAUUGAACGCAUGAGAUUUGGAAACCAAAUUAUGAAUAAAUACACACUAUAGCAUGUAAAUCUUUGAGUCAUAUAUGCAUGAUGUAGAUGUUCGUUUAGUUCUUAUAGUUAAUCUCAUUCAAAAUCAAUUAGUUUUUUAAAAAGUUUUAGAUUCAUGGGAUUGUGCACUGUAAAGCAUAAAGUCAAAAACAAAUAAUGGCAAUUCAUUUAGAAAAAAAGUUUGGGCAAUUAUGAUACGGAAGAUUCUAGAACAAAGGAGAAGUGCUUGUGUUUUGGGAAAGCAUGCACGGCCCACAUCUCUUAUUGGUUGAUAUGUCACAAAACAAGAAACGAGGAGGGAGCUAAUGUAUCGUGCCAAAGCGUUUUGGGAUUAUUUGGUUUUCGGAAGAUGACUUACACACCUAGAAGGAGGGAGUACAAAGAGAAAAAAUGAAUUGCAGUUAAAAGAAUGACAUUUCUAACAAAAAUGUGAAUGUGAACUACAUAUGUGUGCACGUGACCAGCACAUACAUUGUCAAUGCAAAAUUUAAUGCAAGAAAUAACUUAUGAGUAACAUGCACAAAUUGAUGAUGUGGUGCUUGCAUGCAUAGAGUAGAAAAAACAAUGUGAUUUAUGACUUGCAUGCAUGACGUGUUCUUGUGCCAUAGUUGCAUGUCUAGGAAAAAAGCUACUAGUGGGUUGUCCUAGCUAUUUAGGAAUAGAAGAUGUAUACAUGGAAGUUGUAGGGAAAGAGAUGACAUGUAUCUCAAUUCCCAUGAGUAGGGAUUGGAAAAGAUAUGUCAUUUGGUUCACAUCAUAGGAACUUCUAUUGAAUCUAGAGAUGACAUGUAUCUCAAUUCCUAUGAGGGGGGAUUAGAAAAGAGAUGUCAUUUGGUUCACAUCAUAGGAACUUUUCUAUUGAAUAUACGCUAAUGUUUAUUUUCCUUUGAAAUUAUGGGAGUAUAGGAAUCCAUUCAUAUGAACCAAGUGGCUCUAAAGCUAUAAAAAUGAUAUCAUGUUUAUUUCCUUUGAAAUGUGGAGUAUAUGAAUCUAUUCCUAUGAACCAAUUGGCUCUAAAGGAAAAAAAUCCUAUAAAAAUCAUAUCAUAUAGAGUUCCUAUGAUAUUCCUCCACACCAAAGGAUGGUUGAAAUUGCUGCACGUGAUACAACAGUCUUUCUUUGUAGACUCCUCCCACAUCUUUAUAGUUACCUCACGAAGAUGAAUGAAAUGAUAUAUACUGGGUAUUCUAUAUGUGCAUUUUGGUACACGAAAACUCGGUAAAAGUUUGCGAUGUUCGAAUUUUCAAUAAAGCUAUAUGCACUACAUUUUGGAAUGGGGGGAGGAGCAUACGGCAGUUGCUAACACUCACGUGGAAGAUUUGUGUGUAGGAGGAGUGGCUGCUCUGUUAAAUGACAUGGCAAAACUGACACUGUCGGAUGCCGAUCUAACGGUUCUUACGGCAUUCGUCAGGAAACGGCUUGUGGGCGAACGUUUGUUGGAUAAUGAUUUAUGGACACAUGCAUUACAUUGGUACGUGGCCCCUCUCUCUCACGCACAAACGCACCCUCACGAGUCACGACUCUCCUGGGUCCUCUCGCACCCACCGUCUAUCUGCAGGUAGACGUCACACACAUAUGUGCUCUUCACACCCAACCCUCAAAACUUCUAAAAAACAAAAGAUGUCAUGCACCUUUUAUUUUAGCUCACACGUCACACACUUAUACUAUUACUCUUGUGGCAAACGUUCUUUGGGCAUAGUAUAUUGUACUCUCACGAAAAGAAGCGGUGCACGCACGCGCUAGUUCUCUCACACCCACUCACGGGUACACGUAGGAGCGCAUUUUUUGAAGCUGGUACAACAAAAUCACUCCACUAUAUAUAUAAGCAGGAGCCUUAGCGCUUGCUUUACUAGGGUUCCUCUCUUUCACUCUUUCAUGCUCUCCAGAUCUAAGCAAGACAUAGGUGGCCACACUCUCUCUUUGCUCAUGGUUGGUCACAAAUCCGGCCGGACCACCUCGACCGGGGCAGGGGUGUAGGUGCAUCGUUCACGCUGUCGUCGGCGGCGAGGGAGGAGACCAACGGUUGCCCGCGCGUCCCGAUCGGCAGCCGUGUCGUUCUCUCCAAGAGGGCGCCGGCUCGGGAGGGCCUCCGACCCCUUCUUCCUCCCUACGGUAUUGUGGCCAAGAUGCGGCCUCCCGACACCGUCUUUGCCACAUGCCGACGAUCCUCAGGUAUAUAUUCUUUCGAAACAUGCCUUGCUCUACUUCCCCAGCUCCCCACGUGGCUGCGUGUGGAUCUUUUUCUACUUCCGUCGGCUGUUCCAAAGCCACCUAGACUUUUACUAUUAUUAGAGGUAAAGGUAGUUCAUACAGUCAAAUCUAAGAGUUGGUUCAAAAAGGGAAGAAAGUGGGAAAGCUGUAACAUGAAUCUAGGACUUGGUUUUAAGAGGAAACAGGGGAAAGUAGUAGAUACUGGCUACCCAACCGGUCUAUUGGUUGAAAAGGCAAAGAAAGCAUGGUGGAUGGCGAAGGGUGGGGGAGUGGACCUGUCUCUUGAUUGAAAAAGGAAAUAAAGUGAGGGGUGUUGGGGGACAACGCAAAUGAGAAUGAGCAGGUCUAGAUUUCCUGUGCUCACAUAGGAAAAUGUCACCGAGGAGAUAAAAAAUGGGACAAAUGCAGACAUGCUGCCUGAGUGUUUGCCGCUCUCGGCAACCACAUCUGCCUCACCACUUUAUGCCCCUGUUGUCCCUACGCCCAUAUCACUACCAUUAAUGUAAAAUCACAUGAAGCAUUAAGCAAUGCCACUUAAUGUCACUAUAAGUAAUGGUCUAGUGCCGUCGAUAAAUUGAAGCAAUGCCACCACCAGUUUAUGAAGUGCUUCUGUCUUGCUUUAUUUCCCAUGAAUUGUGUUGUUGCAGUUACACUUAAAUCUCACACCGCUAACAUUGCUUCAUCCCAGUGGAACUGCACAAAUUUGAUUGCACAUUUACUGAGCAUGUGCUACUCUCAUGAUAGUAAUACUAAUGCCAUUGUUCUGCAUGUUAAUUUAGUGGCAAUGUUGAUGUGAUGUGAUGCUACUUACUUAAGGGCACUUUCAUACUAUCAGUCUAGUGCCAAUUAUGACACAAUAGGUGCUGCUGUUAAUACGCCACUACAAAUAUCUGUCACUUUUUAAAUAACCUUAUUUCAUAUUUGCGCAAACAGGGAUGUUUGUCUCCAUAUCGUUUCUAUCUGCGCAAUCAAAAGUUCACACCUCAGUUUUAGUACAACUGCACAAAAUGAGAUGGCUAUUCCUAGCUGUUGUCCUCUAACCACCAGUGUUCCAGGUAUUCCUACAUUGGUUCUAACUAGGUAGAAUGACCAACACAAUCUAAAAGAAGGUGAUUCGUACGUUUUACUUCCUGAUUGCAGUGCAGGGACGAGCGAAAACAACUACAUCCUAGUCCGGAAUGCACUUUCUUCCAGUUCAUCCAUGGACCGAGGACUAGCUGGCACAGCUGCACGGAGGUUUUUGGUACAGGUGCACGGACAAGAGGCAUUGUGGUCUACUUAUUUCUGCAAAUAGCGGUGCUUAAAUUUAGUGGAAUGCACAAGAAUUUCAGCUGGUCAGUACACUACAUGGUUCAGUUCAGCAUUCCAGAGUGAACUCCAGGAAAAACCAGGGUGAACUCCAGGAAAUUUAAGCCUACCUAGGGAGGCCCUUUGCUCAGAGAAGCCUUGCUUGAUUUAUCCUGAUUUGUAAACCUUCUCACAACUUUGUCUUUUGAUGUGAACUAGUUAUAUGUUUGUUAUGUUCUAUGAAUCGUUGAGAUGUAUAAAAUUGCUUAACUUAUGCUUUUCAGGUUUUUUAUGAAGCCGAGUUUAAUGUGAGUGUUCCACAUGAACGCUGGACUAGCGUGUGAACGUUUGGAAUUUACAUUGUGGCCUCAGUUAACUGCAUGAACCACUGUAACAAGAUACGUAGUUGCUUAUAUGUCAGACAGCAGAUUAUUGAUUGUUAGCUGGUUGAUAGCCUAGUGUUGAAGCGAGAUGAGCCAAUGUGCCGUGUUUUGCACAACUGCUUACAAGUGGGGUAGCACCAACAGUGUUUACAAGUACUUAUGUAUACGUCAGCGCACAUUUCUCGAACGAGUACUCUAUUUCAUCAAACACACACUGCUCGUAUGAUAAACUGUGACAACUUACAUCUUACCAUGCCAUAUUCAUGAAAAAACUAGUGAGGACGCAUCUGUUUCGGCAACAAUUAUGAUGGUUCUCACAUGAUUCACGGGCACACAAAAGUAGCAACAGUUCCCAUAGACGGAUUCAAACAGAGUACUAGCCCAGAGGGCUCGAUAAUAGGCAAGGUUCUGAUAAGUAGACACAAUCCAAACUAGUAUUAAACACUAGCUGGGGCAACUAUUUCAUGCCUCGAUCUAAUUUGGGCUGGACACAAGACAGACCUUGCCAUGAACAUCAUCAAGGACGUCCGGCAGCAGCUCAAUCCUGUGAACCUUCAUGAAGAUAACCUUGUGGCCUUGCCACUCAUAAACUUGUUUGUGGAGGCAUGCCACGUCAUCUUCCUGCGUAAGCUUGACAAGAACAGCAUGCCUCACAAAUGAAGGAGUAGCUUUGAACUUCUUGUGCUUCAGUACACACUGGACAACACGCCUGACAACAGAGAGGCUGGAAUACAACUCGACAUCAGUAUAAGCGCAAAUGGCUUCCAGGAUCCAACAGCCUAAGAACUAUGUUUUCCCAGUGCGUAUAUUCAGGUCAUCCGCCUCAUAGCGAGUGACAUGUACAACCACACAAUCCUUGUCUGCAUCAGGGCUCUAAUUGAAACAGAAACAAAUUCUGAAUUACUUUCCAGUAUAAGAAACACAAGUUAUUUAAACCACUAUGUAUAACAUGGCAUCGAAGCUAAUAAAAUUUUGCAUUAUUCAUCACCACAUACUUAGAUGAAAAACCACAAUCGAGAUCGGCAAAGAAGAAAAUCACCUUGGGCAGCUCAGCAGGGGGGACACAUCCUCGAAGGGGGAAAACUGCUCCUGCAGUGCCACGGGGACUGUAACCUCAAACGGGGCGUUGACCAUCUCAGUAGUGGCCGUGAGCGUAUCUGAGGUCGGCUCGGUGGCUGCCUCCAUCUUCUUGGAGCUCCCUGUCUCGUGGGGAUCAGCCUCCCGCGUCUGCUCCAAUAUCGGCAGAUCUUUGCCUGGUUCUCCUUGGUCCAUCAUGAAACUGACGAAUACUAGGAGACCACUGAAAGGAAAACACAAUCGCAAUGACAAUGAAGCAAAAAAGAGAGUGAGGAUCGGUUACUGAUUUGCAAAAGUUCCUUUUUUCUCUGAAUGAAAAUAUACCAAUAUCACGGAUCCGCUUACCUUCCCUUCGUUUGAGAAGAACAGUGGCAGAUGCGAGUGUUGGCUUUCUUAAAGACAGUGAGGGAGAAGGGGAUUCAGUGAAGAGUGAAAUGAUGGUUGCUUCAUCCGCCAAACUUAGACUGCGGGGAGGUGGGGUUUUGUGAUACGACGGCUCGUUACUGCCGCGCUACGACCGUGGUGACUCUCUGCCUGCAUACUGCCUUCUAAUUUGGUGGAUGGCAUUUGGGCCCGCGCGCGGCAUGGCCCACAUGUCAGUGAACAAAAGUAAAAUGGCAUUCAGUAGAGGGAGAUGUUUCGAUGACCUAAGAGGAGCCAGAAGCGGUAGUGUAUCCACUGUACUAGUAGUAAUUGUUUUUCUGGUAGUUGUAGAGUGUCUCCACUGUACUAGUAGUAAUUGUUUCUCUGGGCCCAAGACAAAACAGCCCAUCCACCCUAGUAAAUAAUAAAAUUAAUUCAAAAGCCCAUAUAUUUACUUAAUGAGAGGUGAUACGUCUCCAACAUAUCUAUAAUUUUUUAUUGUUCCAUGCUAUAUUAUAUUAUAUUUUGGAUGUUUAAUGGGCUUUAUUAUACACUUCUAUAUUAUUUUUGGGACUAACCUAUUAACCGGAGGCCCAGCCCAGAUUGUUGUUUUUUUGCCUAUUUCAGUGUUUCAAAGGAAAAGGAUAUCAAACGUAGUCCAAACGGAAUGAAACCUUCGGGAACGUGAUUUUCGAAACAACCGUGAUCCAGAGGAUUUGGAGUCUACGCAAAGCAAUCAACGAGGAGAGCACGAGGCAGGGGGCGCNNNNNNNNNNNNNNNNNNNNNNNNNNNNNNNNNNNNNNNNNNNNNNNNNNNNNNNNNNNNNNNNNNNNNNNNNNNNNNNNNNNNNNNNNNNNNNNNNNNNNNNNNNNNNNNNNNNNNNNNNNNNNNNNNNNNNNNNNNNNNNNNNNNNNNNNNNNNNNNNNNNNNNNNNNNNNNNNNNNNNNNNNNNNNNNNNNNNNNNNNNCCACGUUGCUCCACCGACAUACUUCUUCCUCCUAUAUAUACCUAUGUACCCCCAAACCAUCAGACACAGAGCCAAAACCCUAUUUCCACCGUCGCAACCUUCUGUACCCGUGAGAUCCCAUCUUGGGGCCUUUUCCGGCGCUCCGCCAGAGGGGGCAUUUAUCACGGAGGGCUUCUACAUCAACACCAUAGCCUCUCCGGUGAUGUGUGAGUAGUUUACCUCAGACCUUCGGGUCCAUAGUUAUUAGCUAGAUGACUUUUUCUCUCUCUUUGGAUCUCAAUACAAAGUUCUCCUCGAUCUUCUUGGAGAUCUAUUCGAUGUAAUCUUCUUUUGCGGUGUGUUUGUCGAGAUCUGAUGAAUUGUGGGUUUAUGAUCAAGUUUAUCUAUGAACAAUAUUUGAUUCUCCUCUGAAUUCUCUUAUGUAUGAUGGGUUAUCUUUGCAAGUCUCUUCGAAUUAUCAGUUUGGUUUGGCCUACUAGAUUGAUCUUUCUUGCAAUGGGAGAAGUGCUUAGCUUUGGGUUCAAUCUUGCAGUGCUCGAUCCCAGUGACAGUUGGGGAAACGAUACGUAUUGUAUUGUUGCCAUCAAGGAUAAAAAGAUGGGGUUUAUAUCAUAUUGCAUGAGUUUAUCCCUCUACAUCAUGUCAUCUUACUUAAAGCAUUACUCUAUUCUUAUGAACUUAAUACUCUACAUGCAUGCUGGAUAGCGGUCGAUGUGUGGAGUAAUAAUAGUAGAUGCAGAAUCAUUUCGGUCUACUUGUCGCGGACGUGAUGCCUAUAUACAUGAUCAUACCUAGAUAUUCUCAUAACUAUGCUCAAUUCUAUCAAUUGUUCGAUAGUAAUUCGUUUACCCACCGUAAUACUUAUGCUCUUGAGAGAAGCCACUAGGGAAACCUAUGGCCCCCGGUCUAUUUUCCAUCAUAUUAAUCUCCCGUCAACAAGCUAUUUCUAUUGCCAUUUAUUUUACUUUGCAUCUUUAUUUCUCUUUAUCAUAAAAAUACCAAAAUAUUAUCUUAUCAUAUCUAUCAGAUCUCACUCUCGUAAGUGACCGUGAAGGGAUUGACAACCCCUUUAUCGCGUUGGUUGCGAGGUUCUUAUUUGUUUGUGUAGGUGCGUGGGACUCGAGCGUGGUCUCCUACUGGAUUGAUACCUUGGUUCUCAAAAACUGAGGGAAAUACUUACGCUACUUUACUGCAUCACCCUUUCCUCUUCAAGGGAAAACCAACGCAGUGCUCAAUAGGUAGCAAGAAGGAUUUCUGGCGCCGUUGCCGGGGAGAUUUGCGCCAAGUCAAGUCAAGAUUUGACUCCCGACAACCAGCCAUUCCUGGCGCUGUUGCCGGGGAGUCUACGCACAAUUCAAGACAUACCAAGUACCCAUCACAAACUCUUAUCCCUCGCAUUACAUUAUUUGCCAUUUGCCUCUCAUUUUCCUCUCCCCCACUUCACCCCUGCCGUUUUAUUCGCCCUCUCUUUUCCGUUCGUCGCCUUCUUGCUUACCUUGUUGUUAUGGCUAGUCCCUUAUCUACUCCGUUGUCUCCCGAGUUUGAAGUUCUUCACUUCAAACAAAGGCAAGGAGAAAACUUGAAAGAUGCUUGGUUUAGAAUGAUGGAAUCUUAUCAUAAUUGUACCCUAGAGGUGAAUUUUAGAAUUUUGCUUCGCAAUUUUUAUGUUGGAUUGAAUAUGUCUCAUAGACAACUCUUGGAUUGCGUUGCCAAAUGCAAUUUUAUUGAAAUUGAUCCCAGUAUUGCGCGCGAAAUUAUAGAAGGUAUAGUGGGAACAUUACCUCAACAAAAGGGGCCUCAUCAUACCCAGGAAGAAACGCAAGUUUUUGAGAAAAUUUGCAAAGUAACAAAAAAAUUACAAAAAUCUCUUGAACCUCUUAAGAGUGUUAGUGGAAAUCUUCACCGCAUGAAUAUGUUGAUUACUCUUUGCAAUAAGCGGUUGGAUUCUUUAGAUCUGAAAAUCUCGGAAUAUGAAGGGAAGCGUAAAGAACCUCCCGGAUUUGAGCAUAACUCCACUAAAAAAUUAAAGACCCAAGAUGAUAAUACCUAGAUCUAUCCUUGCUUUUAUGCCUAGCUAAGGGCGUUAAAAGAUAGCGCUAGUUGGGAGGCAACCCAAUUUUAUUUUAGUUUUUUUUUGCUUUUUGCUUCUGUUUAGGAAUAAAUAUUUGAUCUAGCCUCUGGUUAGAUUUGUUUUUAUGUUUUAAUUAGUGUUUGUGCCAAGUGAAACCUAUAGGAUCUUCUUGAAUGAUAGUUAUUUGAUCUUGCUGAAAAUUCCAGAAACUUUCUGUUCACGAAAAUAAUUGUUAAAAAUCACCAGAACGUGAUAAAAUACCGAUUCCAAUUGCAGUAGAUCAAUAAAAAAAUUGUACAGGUCGUCCUAUUUUGGUAGAUUUUUCUGAGUUCCAGAAGUUUGCGUUAGUUACAGAUGAGACUGUUCUGUGUUUGACAGAUUCUGUUUUUCGUGUGUUGUUUCCUUAUUUUGAUGAUUCUAUGGCUAGUAAAAUAGUUUAUAAACCAUAGAAAAGUUGGAAUACAGUAGGUUUAACACCAAUAUAAAUAAAGAAUGAGUUCAAUACAGUACCUUGAAGUGGUGUUUUGUUUUCUUUCGCUAACGGAGCUCAUGAGAUUUUCUGUUAAGUUUUGAGUUGUGAAGUUUUCAAGUUUUGGGUAAAGAUUUGAUGGAUUAUGGAACAAGGAGUGGCAAGAGCCUAAUCUUGGGGAUGCCCAUGGCACCCCAAGAUAAUCUAAGGACACCAAAAAGCCAAAGCUUGAGGAUGCCCCGGAAGGCAUCCCCUCUUUCGUCUUCGUCCAUCGGUAACUUUACUUGGAGCUAUAUUUUUAUUCACCACAUGAUAUGUGUUUUGCUUGGAGCGUCUUGUAUGAUUUGAGUCUUUGCUUUUAGUUUACCACAAUCAUCCUCGCUGAAUACACUUUUGAGAGAGACACACAUGAUUCAGAAUUUAUUAGAAUACUCUAUGUGCUUCACUUAUAUCUUUUGAGCUAUAUAGUUUUUGCUCUAGUGCUUCACUUACAUCUUUUAGAGCACGGCGGUGGCUUUGUUUUAUAGAAAUUAUUGUUCUCUCAUGCUUCACUUAUAUUAUUUUGAGAGUCCUACAAAACAGCAUGGUAAUGUGUUUUAAUUGUGAAAUUAGUCCUAAUAUGCUAGGUAUUCAAGAUUAGUAAAAACUUUCUUAUGAGUGUGUUGAAUACUAAGAGAAGUUUGAUGCUUGAUAAUUGUUUUGAGAUAUGGAGGUAGUGAUAUUAAAGUUGUGCUAGUUGAGUAGUUGUGAAUUUGAGAAAUACUUGUGUUGAAGUUUGCAAAUC